RNAcentral lists this long non-coding RNA (57763 nucleotides) under Gossypium barbadense (sea-island cotton). RNAcentral's name for it is "long non-coding RNA (GBAR_LNC010123)". Lineage: Eukaryota; Viridiplantae; Streptophyta; Magnoliopsida; Malvales; Malvaceae. The record is from RNAcentral.
UUUUUUUUUUUUUUUUUUUUUGAAAACCUUAAUUUAAGACUACUUCUUAUGUUUUCCCCUAUUUUACUCAAUUUAAGGUUGUUGUUGGAGAGGAAUUAGACCAUGUAAGAAUCAUCACUUUGAACAGGCCUCGACAUUUGAAUGUCAUCUCAUCCAAAGUGGUAUGUAAUGUUUAAACUAACACUGCCUUGGCUUUCUUUUAUGUUCUUCAAGUCAAAUCUUCUGAAAUCCUUGUUUCUUUUACUGCAAUCAGGUCUCCCUGCUAGCUAAAUACUUAGAACAAUGGGAAAGAGAUGAGCAAGCUCAGCUUAUACUGAUCAAGGUUGUUAAAUUGGGUCAUUUCAAAUGGUUCCUUGUUCUGGAUUUCUCUGUCAAUUUUCAUGAUUUCUAAAUUAUAUUGUUUGUAACUUUUUAUUCAGGGAGCCGGGCGUGCAUUUUCUGCUGGUGGAGAUUUAAAAAUGUUCUAUGAGGGAAGGAAAUCAAGUAAAUGUUCUAUCGGUCUUAUCCUGAUAUUGGACUUUUGGUUCUAUUCUAUUAUGUUUUGAACUAUGUUGUUCGGAUAGGGGUAUGGGAUAUGAUCUUCUAUAUACUUGGAAAACCUUAAAAAUAAUGAAGUUCUCGUACCAUAAGUUUUAAAUUCUAUUACUUCCUCCAUAACACCUAAUGACUGCUCAUAUAUGUGCAAUUGUGCACAACAUUAUGAAUUUUAAUUCGUAAUGAAUUAUUCUUCUGACAGAGGAUUCCUGCCUCGAAGUGGUCUAUCGAAUGUAUUGGCUUUGCUAUCACAUUCAUACUUAUAAGAAAACUCAGGUUUUUUUAUUUUCACACUGUAUUCUCAUACCAUUACACAAGGAGUUCAUUGAAUGUGAGAUCUGCUCACUGUGGAAAUCUACCAGUCUAAUUGAUGUAUUGUGUUUGACAGGUUGCUCUUGUUCAAGGAAUUUCAAUGGGAGGUGGUGCAUCAUUGAUGGUCCCGAUGAAGUUCUCAGUUGUAACAGAAAAAACUGUGUGUAUAUAGUCAUUCUCUUGACAUUUUGUGUACAUAAAUCAAUACUUUCAAGUUUCAACCUUACCUUCUUUCCUUUAUCUGUUACUGAAUUGAUGUGCUGAAUCUUCCGUAUGGUACGCUUUUGAAUGCUUGUGCUUAGGUCUUUGCAACACCAGAAGCAAGUAUUGGGUUUCAUGUGGACUGUGGUUUCUCAUACAUGCUUUCCCAUCUCCCUGGCCAUUUGGGUACGAAUGACUUGCCAAAGUAGAUAUAGAUUUGUAUUUGGUUUUGUUAUGGGAUUUUUUUUGGAAGCUUAUUUAAGACUAUUUGGUCAUUCAUUGCAGGGGAAUGUUUAGCUUUAACCGGGGCUAGGUUAAAUGGUAAGGAAUUGGUUGUAGCUGGACUAGCAACCCAUUUUGUCCCUCUUGAGGUGAGUUCAGUUAUCUAUGUUGAUUUGAAUCUUUAUUUUUCAUGAAAUACCAGUAUUUGAACACAUAGCCAUCAUAGAUAUGGAUAUAUAACUCUCAAAGGACUCUUCAAAUGCAAGGAAAUUCUUGGAAAUGCAUGGAAAAACAUGGAAAGAAUUGAACAUACUCGUGUCUGAUACAUAACUAUUUCUGACAUUCACACCCAAGUUUGAGUAGCAUAGGCUAUGGUUAUGUAAUAGCUGUGAGAUUUAUUGUGCACAGAAACAAUUAGUAUUAAGUGUUUCUUCUCCUGUCAAAUUCACAAAUAACAACCCAAACAAAUCCGAGCUCUAGCUUGUUUCAAGGAAUUUGAUUUCAUAAUUUAAUUUCCUACCUUGGAUCAUAUUCCAUCUAUUCUCAUCGGACAUUAAUCCAUUUUCUUUUGGCCUUCUGCUGCUGCAAGCGUUAAAGAUUUACUUGACAUUUCUCUUUAUAUCCUGUAUUAUUAGCAUUCACUUUUGGAAAGAAGUUCUGUGAAGAAGUAUAUGAGUGAAUGCAAAGAAGUUCUGUGAAGAGGUAUAUGACCUAGCACGGCUGGGGUUCGCUUCAAACAAAAAAAAAAAAAAAACUCCAUUUUUUCUUCUGGCUUCAAGAAGUAUCAUAUAUUUUACAAUUUAUAGGGAGAGGCUUGGGUGGGAAGCUGAUCCCAACUUUGCUCUAAUGCAAAUUUAAACAGUCUGACUAUAUUACUUGAACUUGGGCAUGAGUAUGUGUUCUACACAUACACAUAUGUUCAAUUUAAUUUUUUUUUUUUUAUGUAUUUGAAGGGUCUUGAAACAUCAUAUCCUCAUACCAUGUCCUCAGAUACAGCUACCAAAUACAGAUACUUCAUUAAAAAAUUGAGGAGUUGGAGAUACGAAAUCAGCUAAUCAUUCUGAAAUUAGUAACACUUUGACUGUUGAGGAUACAUAAAAGGAACAAUAAUCUACUAACAAAUUCGUUCUUAGACUUUUUUGAUUAACUUCAUUUUCUCUAUCCAUAUUAAAUUUUGAAAACACCUCAUCAAUUUCAGUCUACAAAGAAUUUGACUUAAAAUUUGAGCUUUUCAUCUUUUAAAUUAGUUCCAAGACUUUCUUAAUGAACCUCAUUUUCUCUAUCCAUAUUAAAAUUUGAAAACACCUCAUCAAUUUGAGCCUUCAAAGAAUGUGAAUUAAAAUUUGAGCUUUCCAUCUUUAAAUAUUGUGUAUAUGUAGAUUGAAAUUAAUGAGGUGUUUUCUGAUUCUUGUAAAUUGUCAAUUUGUCUAUGCUUUUUUCCCCUUAGAUUGAGUAAUAUCAUGAUAACGUUUUAUUUUCUAUUGUAAUCAGAAACUUCCUGAGCUUGAGAAGCGUCUGAUUAGCUUGAACGUUGGUGAUGAAAACUCUGUCAAGGCUACAAUUGAGGAAUUUUCUUUGCAUGUGCAGCUUGAUGAAGACAGUAUUUUAAACAAGUAAGAAAACCUGUGUCAACAUAUGUAGCUCUGACUCUUUAUUUUGUUUGAAGUAUCUUCGACAGACAUGUUUGAUACAUAUUUGAACAUGGGUACGGGAUAAAACCCUCCAAGGACGCUUUACACAUGAAAAAGCUUAGAGCAAAUUGGACUUACAUGUAUCAAACACAUAGCUAUAUUUGAUUCUUGGAUGCAGAAGUGUCAACUAAAAGAUGAAUUGGGAAAGGUCAUUGACCUCAGCAUUAGUGAAAGCUGAUAGUUUUUAUUACUCCCCAGGAAGCAGAUAAUUGAUGAAUGUUUCUCAAAGGAUUCUGUUGCAGACAUUAUAAAAUCAUUUGUAAGUUCUUUUUCUUUCUUCUUUAAUCUCUCAACAUAGAAAGGAACAUUAACAUAGUUUGAAUUGGAAAAGGUCCUCAUGAUAUUCACUUUCUUUGAAUGUUCUCUGACAGGAAGUGGAGGCGAGCAAAGAGGGUAAUGAAUGGAUUGGUCCUGUACUGAAAGGGCUGAAAAGAUCAUCGCCAACAGGAUUGAAAAUAACAUUGAGAUCGGUAAUAGUUUUUUACUUUAUUCUACCAUUUAUUCAUAUGUUUAACUGGUUUGCAGAACUUUGGUUUAUAUUUAUAGGCAUUUGAUAGUGAUUUAAGGUAAACUUUUGUAAAGGAUGAGGCUUCUGCUUCAAGUGCAACUAACUCGAAAUAAAUUCAUUCCAUCCUUCAAAGCUGAAUGAAGUUCAUCUCAUUUUCUACUGACAGUAUGGUGUCUACCUAAAAGCAUCUAUCUUUUUCAUGUUUAAAUUGAUGCAUUGUCUUGAUUUGGAACUUGAGAUCAGUGAUUCCAUCAAAGUCUUUCUGAUGUCUAUACAUACGAGUGUUUGUUUCGACUUUUUCAAAUUGUAGAACUAUGGAACUGGUAUCAACUUAACAAAGCACACCUGGUUGACUUGGUUUUACCCCAAAAGGUCGUUAACAAAGCACAACCAUUAAUUGUUGGAUUAAUAUUUCUAGAUUCGUGAAGGGAGGAAGCAAACUCUGGCUGAAAGCCUGAAGAAAGAAUUUAGACUAACAAUGAAUAUAUUACGGACCACAAUCUCUGCAGAUGUCUACGAGGUAAUUAAUUUGAGUUUAACCACUUACGAAAACUUCAAAAAGAGCUUUAUCUAACUCGUGAAUGGAUUUGCUUCUGUUUUUGUUGAAAGGGUAUCAGAGCCCUCACCAUUGACAAGGAUAAUGCUCCAAAGGUACCCUCUUUUACUAAUGCAUCCUUGUAUGCUAUGUUACUCCAACUCUUUACUUUUCUUGAAUUACUUGUGUUUGACACAUAUGGAUGACCCUCCAACUUCAAGGAUCUUCCAAAUACAUGGAAAAAAUUGGAAAAUUAAAUUACUUAUCCAAUUCAAAAACAUAUCCAUAUCCAAAUUAAACUCAAACUCAGGUCAAUUAGUGAUAUAGCUUUCAUGUAUCUUUGCAUGUGUUAAUCCAUGCAUGUCAGCCUAGAAUCUUAGUGAAAUAACUUAUGAUUUUUAUUGGUUGCUUACUUGUUAAAAACUUUGAACUUGGGAAGAAUUUGUAAUCUAUCAUAUUAUUACUGGAUGAACUUUUCAAAUCCGAUAAGUGGGUAGCUUACUUUUUAAGGGGAUUCCUUUUUCACAUUAAGCAUGUCAUAAAUUCUCAUGUGUCAAACAACUACAGUGGGGCCCACCAAUUCUUGAUCAAGUGGAUGAUGAGAAGAUAGACCUAGUAUUUCAGCCAUUUACAGAGGAUUUGGAGCUCAAAGUUCCAGAACAGGAAGAUUGCAGGUAACUAUGACCUAUAUUGCUUAUGACAUGUAUAUAUAAAUAUGAGGAUGGAGAUAUAACCCUCCUAUUACCUAAAAUGAAAUUAAAUAUGCUUUGUUUCCGGCACAUACCUACAUUGACGUAUACCCACACUUUGGGACCCUGAGUCCUCUCAUGUCAUUUAUUAGUAUCAGGAUGGAUCUAAAAUAGCUGAUCUUUCAUUGUAUUUUUUGUCUUCUGGUCUAUCAUCCGAACCAAGUUAUAGGUGGGAUGGAAAAUACGAGAACUCAGCAUACGCAAAAUGAAAGGACUGAGAGAUGAUACGGAUGAAGUACAAGAAAAAGUUCAUGGUUAGGAGCUGCUGCUUUCCCUGAAACACUACUUUCACCAUGGAGGAAAUCUCAUAUCUUUAGAUAACAGCUUUUUGUAUCCACUACCGGGUUCAUUUUCUGUGUUUAACUUUCGAAUCUUUACUCUUUGAAUAAAGGUAUUAAUUUACUUAAAGCCUCACAUGCAUGUUAAUUGUUGAGUGGUGUCCUAAAUUCAGACUCUUCUAUGUUUAUAAUAUAAUAUGAUUGGAGCCCGGAUAAAGGCAUAUUAGCUAGAUAGAUCAUGGUAAAAUUGUUACAAACUGAAAUUGCUUCAUAAGUUAUGUUAUCAUUCUUUAUUUUACUUGAACCAUUAAUGUACGGCGCUUUGUUUUCUGACAUGAAUAUUAAAGAGUGGGAUAUGAAAAGAAUUUAAAUAUUCGUAUGAAACAUAUACUCAUAUCCGAACAUUUAUUCUAGUAUUAAUACCAUAGUUGAUAAGUGAUAAUAAAGGGCAUGCUUGAAUUUUAAUGACUCAUUCUUGGCUUUGUUUUUUCCAACAAACCAUUCAUUCAACAGGAACCAGAUUAUAAGAGUGUUACUAGUUUCACAGGUGGAACUUGAACCCAGUUUGACGGACAAGAAUUAAUCCUAGUUUUUUUGCGAUCUAGUCAACAACUCUAUUACUGUUUCUUUUGGCAAACUUAAACGAUACAUCUCUUACGUUUAGAAACUAUAGAUAGAAUAUCUUAAACAAUUGCAAAAAUCUCCCAAGGGCAUUGGUUCUUUUUCCAUAAGCAUUGAAUCAGUUGAAGAUUGCUGGAUUCAAAUUCCACGGACUCCCAGUUAUUAUCAGCCGCAAGUAUGGAGCCCAACCUCAUAGCUUCGGCAUCAGCCGCUAAUGCUAUAGACACAUGCAUCAACGCGUUGGUUCCACCUACAAAUCUCCAUUGCUGUUCCUGGCAAUUGUAGCCGCCCUUGCUUCUCGAUUUUUCCCUUUUAGAGAAGCAUCAAAAUUGAUUUUUACAACUUGGGGCAUACUGCCAACGAUGUUGCGACAUGAUGAAGCCAAAAGUCGCAACAUUCCAACUAGUCCCGAAGAUUAAAGUAAUUUUCCAUCGAAGUCACGACAUCGGUUCGACAAGGCCCAUAUAUCUAUAAUAGUUGUUUUUUGUUCAUACUAGAUGUGUGCAAAUUUUGAGUAAAAUCGAUUUAUCAACCGAACCGAAUUAAUUCGAUUAAUAGGUUGGUUAACCGAAUUAAUUCAGUCGAUGGCCAGUUAAUAAUUUUUUGAAAGUUCAGUUAACGGUUAAUUCGGUUUGAAAUCGGUUAAUUAACCGAAAAUUUAUAUUUUUUAUAUACAUUUUACAUGUAUUAAAUUCGGUUAAUUUUUUUAUAUGUUUUAUACUUGUUUUAACUAAAAAAAAAUAUAUAAAUUCCGGUUAAUUCUGUUAAACAGUCGAAUUAAUCGAAAAAGUUCAGUUUGAUUAAUUUUUUUUUGAAAAAUUUCAAUUUUGUUAACGGUUAAUUGUUUAAAAAGUUCAGUUAAUUCAGUUAAUGUUAGUUCGGGUCGGUUAACCGAUUGAACAAUCUUAGUUCAUAAAAUCUUAUUUAACCUGUUACAUAGAUUGUAAUUGACCUAAUUUGGUCAUACAACAUAAACACUAUAAAUAUUAGCUUAUAAGAUCAUAUUAGGAAGGUUUGAUUUCUGUUUUUAAGUUAUUUCAUAGGAUUAAUUAGGGUUUUAGGUAGAUUUUAAUAUUCUUUUCAAUUAUUAAAAAAUUAGUUAAUUUUAAUAUCAAUUUCAUUUAUGUUUUCUUUUAAUUACUUUUUUUUUUGUUAUUUUCUUAUUUGCCAAAUCAAAGAUCAACAUCAUUCAUAGGUGUUGGAAAAAAUCUAGUUUGAAAACGAUUUUCUUUCCCAGCAGAAAAUGAAAAAAAUUGAAAACUUAGUCGGUUUGUGAUAUUUAUAACAAUAAACACUUUAUCAAAAUUGCACAUGUGUUUUCGGCUAGACGGAUAUUUGUCGUUCCUGGCUUUCAACGGAACGACCUUCUCCGCUAUUCUUGUACUGCGAAUUACUUUGAAUGUGGGCUCAAACUAUUCGAAUCAAACAUAGAACCAUAAAUAGUUUUCAUUAUUUUAGUGUGAAAACGAAAAUCUUUUUUCAAUAGAAAUUGACAAAAUUGUUAUUCCAGAACAAAAUUUUAAUAUUUGAGAAUAAACUAUCACUAUUUUCGGGCAGAGUAACAAUAUCUUAAAGUUGUUUAAACAUCCCUGUCGGUACCAUCUAUUUAUAGUAAAAAGAAGUAAAACCCUUAUUGAAUUUUAAAAGUUUAUUUCAACUAGAAAAACGAAUUCCUAAUUUAACUAGAAGUAUAGGGGGCGACAACCCUAGUUAAUAAUACUAGGGUUUGUCAUCCCUCCCUUUUAACAUGAGGGGCUUUUGGCCUCUCCCAUAUCGAGUCCAAUUACAAGUAUUUUCAGGACUUUUAACUUAGGACUUCUAACCUAGUACUAUACAAUUCGAUCCAACACAACAUUUGUUUUUCUAUUUCCCAAAAUAAAUAUCUCAAAUAAUUUCCAAUUAAAUAAUCUUCUCAACCUAAUUCUAAUUCCGUUAAAACCAUGACGGCUUUACCGUAAAAGAAUCUAUGAGAAAAUAUAUUUAAUAUAUCUACAUUCAACGAUUUAUUAUGACCAAAUUAUUUAUUUCCAUUUUUUAACUUCAUUUUAUUCGAAAAUUAUAAAUUUAUUUCCAAUUCAUUUUCAUUUUUCAUUCUUCUUAGGUUUAGUCCGAUAUAUUAUCAGUUUGGUAAAUCACAUAUAUGUAUCUAUAUUCUGAUAUUCAUCCGCUCCGAUGUCCAAAACAAAGCAUCUCCCCAAUUGGACUUGAUAGGCAUCAUAUUAGUCUUUCAAUUGAUUUGCUCAUUUUCGAUUAAACUAAGGACAAGUUUAGGUUUGUCUGCUAAUAAAAGUUGUUUUUUCGUAUUACAAUUUGACCACGUAAUACAGCUUAGUAUUGGUUUAAAUAUUAGACAACUAGUGAGUCAACAUUUACUUCUAUUUUGCUUUGCAAGCAAUGUAACAGCCCUAACCCGAAUCCGUCGUCGGAAUAGGGUUACAGAGCAUUACUAGAGUUUACAAAUCAAACAGAUAGAAAAUGCAAACAUUUCAUAUCAUAUAUCAUUCAUGUCAAAAACCAAUUGAAAUCAUAUAUAUUAUCCCUUACACAAGCCCUCGAGGCCCAAAUUACACGUUAGAAAUAAAUUGGGACUAAGUCGAAAGCUCAGAAAAUUUUUUGAAAACAUUUAAUAUUUUUAACACUGCAGAGUCACACGGCCGUGAACAGGCCAUGUGACUCACACGAUCAAGAGACACACCCGUGUCUAAGGUCGGGUAACUCAUUGACUUGCAUUCAUUUAAAAGAUAUAGGGGACACACAGCCGAGACACACGCCCGUGUCUCUACUCGUGUGGACGAAAAUAGGUUAUUUUUCAAGCCAUUUUUCUCAACCAACAAGGCAUGUAUCUACAACUAUCAUCAUACAUGUAAACAAGCCAUAUUAUAACAUCCAAAACAAGUAAAAAUCAAGCCUUAAAUAUAGAUAAUAUCUUCACAUACAACAAUUACUCCUUCAGGCACCUCAGAUGACAGAUUAUAACAUGUGUGUUUAUGUAUUCAAUAUAUUCAUAUGUAUAACUAACUUACAUGCAUAAUUGUACCCAAAGUUUACUAAGCUAAUUUGCAUUAUUUCAAACCAAGUCACUUACCAACCAAAACAUACCAAAACACAAGCCAAAUAAGUGGUUAAUAUUUACAAAACUCAUAUAGGCCAACAUUAACCAGAAUACUUAUACAUGCCACUAUAACCAAAACCAAAAUAUCUAAAAGUACCAUAGAACCAAUGGAUAGUAUGAUAUAACUCCGACAAAAUUUCCAAUCCGAUCGAGCUUCUGAUAAUCUAAAAAGUAAAGAAGAACAACUACGUAAGCAACAAAUGCUUAGUAAGUUCGUAUAAACUUUAGUCAUAUCAAUUCAUUUCAAAUAUAAAAUUUAUACAUAUAAAAAAUAAUCCAAUAUUGAUACCACAAUACUCAUGAAGUAUAUUUAUUAAUUCAUAAGGUGAAUAAAUUCAUAAUAUCACAAACAAACCUCCAUUGGGUAUGAUUUUCAGAAUACUUUCCAAAAUUUCAUUAUAAAUUUACUAUAUUACAAUUUGACAUUUACACUUGCAGAUACUUCACUUCAUCUAGAUAUUCAAUUGCAUUUUCUUAAGCUUCGGCACAUGCACGCUAAGGCAUAAUCAAUAUGAAAAAAAUGAAAUUUGAAAUAAGCCAACAAAAUUAAAGGAUUAUGUGUUUAACACUAAAUUAAGCUAUGAGUCAUAAGAAAUAAAAUUAAGAACAAACCCAUAAUAAACCCAUAAUAAGGAAAUUAAAAAUAAAGAGUAAGGCUUGCACAAGGAACAAAUAAACAUGGGAUGAAUUUAUGUGUGAACAUGUUAAGAACUAAGGCAAAAAUGGGAUUCAUUAUUAAUUUGUAAGUUAAACACUUAUAUUCAGUAGUGAGAAAUGAAUCUUUUAAAAUGAACUUUGGAUAGUUCUUACUAAAGGGCUCAACAUUACUUGAGUACUUACUAAGUUAUACAAGAUUAACUUGUUAGUUGUUUAAACGUUGUAGUAACCAUAUUUUGUUUGGAUCAGUUUUUAUUAUUUAUUAUAAUUAUACUUUAAUAUUUAUUAAUAUAAUAAAAAUAAUAUAGAAUUAUAAUAUAUAGAUAUGCACGGUUGAAUAACUUCUAAGUUAACAUAUAAGUUGUUAGGAAUCAAUCCAAAUAAACAACGAAAAGAAAGAGUAGAGAAGAUCAAGCACACGAAUAUACAUGAAAAAACCCUUUUGAUUGAUAUGACCAAGAGGAUAAAAAACCACGGGAAAAGUAGGUUUUGGAUUUUCACUAAUGAGAAAAAUAAACGAGAGUACAAGAUAAAGAAGAAAUUAACCUAGAUGUACAAAUCUCUAAUCCGAAAACAAAACCCUCUCUCAAAUACAAAGUUCUAUUUUUUUCUUUUUCUCACCUCUAUGAGGGUUAUAAUAGCCCUUUAAAUAGGCUAAGAUUAGAGGGCCAAUAUGACAAAAAUAUUCUUGGAGUAAUCAAGGUUCGUCUGGGAAAAAGAGUCACAUGCUUCCUCGUCGCGAUGUCGCAUCUGCUUUUCAAAAGGUUGGGUCUGUCUUCGGUAUUGCGACACAGGCAGCGGUAAGUGCCUGCAAAGUGUCCGAAAAAUGUGAAGCACACUCUACAAAUCUCCAUAUUAACUCGUAUUUAAUAUGCCUUCUUUUCUAGGCCUUGUUACUAGCAUAACUUGAUAUUUGCAACAUACUAACCAAGUCCAAAUAGUGCACGAACUUGGAAAUUGGAAGACUUUUAGUUAUCAUAUCAGCUAGAUUGUUCUAUGUGCUAAUCUUAUGAAUCUGAACAUCCCAUUGAGAAACCACCUUUUGAACGAAGUGAUACCUGAUGUCUAUAUGCUUCGUCUUCUUGUGGUGCAUCUGAUAUUUAGUGAGAUGUAUAGCACUCUGACUAUUGCAAUAUACAACAAUUGUUUAUUCUUCCUUGACCAGCUAUCUGAAUAGACCUCUCAACCAAAUGGCUUCCUUCACAGCCUCUGUGAUCGUCAUAUAUUCUACUUCUGUAGUUGAUAACACCAAAGUGGCCUUUAGCGUGACCUUUCAACUAAUAACACAGUUGUCAAAAGCAAACAGAUAACCUAUGAAAGAUCUCAUUUGGUCUAAAUCUUUUGCAUAAUCUGAGUCUACAUAGCUAACUAAACCCUCUAAACUUCUCCUGAACUCUAAAAAAUAUUAGAUGUGCCAUUCAAAUACUUGGGAAUCCACUUAACUGUCUACCAGUGUAACUUGUUGGGUCUAGCCAUGUAUGUACUCACAACAUUAACAACAUGUGAAAUAUUGGGGCGAGUGUAGACAAUUGCAUACAUCAAACUAACUAUUACACUGGAGGAGGAAACCUUAGACAUGUACUUUUUUUCAUCCUCGGUCUGUGGUGACUCUGAAGUCGAGAGUUUGAAGUGUGCAGCUAUGGGAGUAUUAAUUGACUUUGAGUUUUGCAUCACAAACCAUUCCAAGACCUUUUCCAUGUACCUCAGCUGAGACAAAAAUCAAUUCCCAGAGUGUCUAUCUUUGGAAAUUUUCAUCCCAAAAUUUUUUUAGUUGCACAAAGAUCUUUCAUCUCGAACUUAGAGUCAAGCAAGGUUUUUAACCGAUCAAUCUCAGAUGAGUUGUUAGUAGCAAUCAGCAUAUCAUCAACUUAAAGCAGCAUAUAUAUAAAUGUUCCAUCAUUUAUACGAUGCAGAUACACAUAGUUGUCAUACUUCUUUGAACAAAACCAAUGCUUAACAUGAAAGAAUCAAUUUUCUUAUACUACUAUUAAGGAGACUAUUCAGGUUGUAUAAUGAUUUCCAUAGAAGCCAGACAUGAUAUUCCUUAUCUUCAAUCCUAAAGCCUUCAAGCUACUUCAUAUAAAUAUCAUCUUCCAGAUCACCAUGAAAGAAUGCAGUCUUUACAUCUAACUGUUCUAAUUCAAGGUUGUAUAAUACAACAAGGGUCAGUAAUUUCCCCAAUGGACAUAUGUUUCACAACAGGAGAGAAAACAUUGUGGAAAUCAACUCCCUUCACUUAGUUGUAACCCUUUGCGACCAACCUUGCUUUAUACGUAGUGUCACCUGGAUUUAAUCCUUCUUUCUUCUUGAACACCCACUUGCAGCUGAUAAUCCUCUUUCUAGGACUCCAUCUCCUCUUUCAUGGCCACAAGCCACUUGUUGAAAUCAGGAGCCUAAAUAACCUCAGAGUAAUUCGAAGGAUCAGCUGAAUCAAUGCUCUCGGAGAUGCUUAGAGCAUAUGUCACUAGAUUUCAUGGCAGAACCUCUGUGGUGGUUUGAUCUCUUGUCUCUCCCUGUCUCGAGCUAGUUGAUAAUUUCGUAGUUAAGAUAUAGAAGAUGCCUGUGAAUCAAAUGGAUCUCUAACUGAUCUGAAGUGGCUUUAGUAACCUCCUAUUACUCCGAAGAACCUCCAACUUCACAUAAGGGAGAAAUUCAUUACGACAUGGAAAGCUUUCUCGUCACAGCAUUGCCCCUGCUUUGGAUCUAGCUCUUUUUUACUUAAAACACUCUACUUUACUGUGUUGACCAGAACAGUCAACUCUUUUCUUGAAUGAAGCAUCACAAUUUCAUCAAAAGUAACAACUCUACUAACCAUGAUUUUUUUAGUUUUAGGGAAUCACAAUUUAGAACCCUUUACACUAGUAGAAAAACUAAGAAAUAUAAUUUCACAACAUUAGGUUCAAGCUUUCCUUCACUAACACCUGUAUGAGCAAGACAACCAAAUACUUUAAUGUUAGAGUAAUUUGGAAGGUUACUUAACCAUAACUCUUUAAAAAUCUUUCCAUCCAAUGCUCAAUGUGGUGGCCAAUUUACCAAAUAGCUAGUCAGAUUGACGACUUUUGUCCAAAACUCAUUUCUUAAGCUUGCAUUGAAAAGCAUACACCAAGCUCUCUCAAGUAGAGUUCUGUUCAUCCUUUUUACAAUGCUUUUUUGCUGGGGGUACUGAAAACUAUGCAGUGUCAGUCAAUUCAUUCAUAUUUGCCAUAGUUAUUAAACUCAACUGCUCAAAACUCGAGUUUAUUAUCUGUACUCAAUCGCUUCACUGACUUCUUGGUCUACUUGUCCAACAGGGUCUUCCACUGUUUAAAAAUCCCGAAAACUUCGUUCUUGUGUUUUAGAAAAUGGACCUAAACCUUCUUAGAAUGGUAACUAAUAAAGGUCAAGAGAUAUCCGCUACCUCUUUUAGAGGUGACUUGAACUAGACCCCAUAAAUUGGAAUGAAUGUAGCAAAAGUGUAACACCCCCUAACCCCAAACCGUCGCCAGAAUUGUGUUACGAGGCAUUACGAAACAUAUUGGUUAAUUUACAAAAAAUUUAUGAAUAAAUAACAAACAUAUUAAAAUUAAAUCAUUAAGUCUCUUUUAUAAACCCUCGAGGCCUAAAUCACGUAUUAUAAAUGAAUAGGGACUUAUUCAAGUACUCCGGAAAUUUUUUUCGUAAUAUAAUUACCUUUUUUGUGUUUAUUUAUUUUAUUAUUAUUAUUUAAAAAAAACUCAAUAUAACCCCUUUAGAAACAUCUAACCUUCCCUGCAAUUUCAAAUUUGCAACCAAUUCAUCAUAAACAACAACUCAAUAAAUACAAUCUUCAUCCAAAUCACAUUCGUUUCAUAUCAGUAUCACUAGUCCUUAUUUUAUCUAACAUUAUAUCCAUUCAUACUUUCAAGUAGUAUUUAAACAUCUUAGUUAAUUUCCAUUCAUAUCAUAUAUCAACUUAUAUUAACUUAACUAAUAUAUUCAUGAGUUAAUAUAAAACAUAGUCAUAUAAGCUCCAAUACAUGCCAUAUAAACCAUUUAAAGUAUUUAUAACAAAAUCUACCGGAAAAUCGAGAUAGUGUGACUUGAGCGUGAUGAUCCGAUACUCUGACCCUCCCGUUAAUCUACAAAGAGCAAUAAACAUUACAAGUAAGCUGACUAUAGCUUAGUAAGUUCGUCGGAUUUAACUAUAAAUCUUACCAAAUAUUAGUUUUCCAAAAUUUCAAAUCAUAUGGACAUUUCAAGUAAGUUACUUUCAUCCUGUAAGUCAUAAACUCAUUUAAAAUUUUUUUUACUUAAUUGAGCUCAAUAAUAAUAAUGAAAACAUUACUUACAUUAUUUUCCACACGUUACAUUUACGACUUACCAACUUAUCCAUUCAAGGAAUGGCUUACGGAUUUGAGUACAUCGUGAUUUGAAGCCAGAAGUCUAGCUGAAGCACAUAAGUGCUAAACGGAAGCCCGAAGGCUAACUGAAGCACACAAGUGUUAAACGGAAGCCUGAAGGCUAACUGAAGCACACAAGUGCUAAACAGAAGCCCGAAGGCUAACUGAAGCACACAAAUGCUAAACAGAAGCCCGAAGGAUAACUGAAGCUCAUCAGAGCUAAACUGAAACCCUAAAAGGGUUAACUAAAACUCAUAUGAGUUAACGGAAGCUCGUAAGAGCUAAACGGAAAGCAAACAUGAGAGUUCACAACAAAUUUUGAAUCUCGGUUUACUUAAUUCAUCUUUUUCACUAAACGAUCGUACUCAUUUCCUGCAUUCUGUUCUCCGAAAUACUCAGUUCAAUUUCGUAACUUUUGUACAUAAUUUACUUAUUUUCAACAAUUAACAUACAUAAAUAUUAAUCACCAUUCAUAAAAUAACAUUUAAAUUUAAUAAUUUAACCGUACGAACUUACCCGGAACAAUUUGCAGUAGUUGUAGAGAUUUCUGGAACUAUUCUGAAAUUUUCUCUUUUCCUCGUUUAUCCUUGAUUUCUUGAUCUAUAAUAUAAUUUUUUUCAUUUAUUCAUUAGUAUUUAUUCCAAUUCUACUCUAAUUUACAGAUUAUGCACUUUAAUUUUCAAAAUUUCACUUUUACCCCAAAUUUUACAAUUUUUACAAUUUAGUCCCUACUCAAUUAACCCUUCAAUUGAAUUAAUUUUUCUCAAUUAACACUUUAUUCUAUUAAUUUAAACUACUUAAUAACCUUUGUAAAUCAUAAUUUUAGCAUUAGACCUUAAUUCCAAACUUUUUCAUAAUUAGGUCCAAAAAAUCAAUUUCCACUAAAAUUGCUUAAUAAAAUCAUCAUAUAAUAAGAUUAAAAAUUCAAAUACAUGCUAAAUCAUCAUAAAAUUACAGAAAUUAUUCAUGUAAACUUUCAAUUUCACUCAUAGAAUCAAAAACAAAUGAAUUUAAUAGUAGGACCUAGUUGUAAAAGUCUUAAAAACACAAAAAUUACAAAGAAAAAGCAAGAAUUAAACUCACAUGAUGAAAAAAUAUGAAAAAACAGCUUAUUAAAGGCCUCCUAUGGCAUUUUUAGCUGAUGAUAAAGAAGAAAAAAUGAAGAAAAACUUAGAUAAUUCCAAUUUAGUCCUAACUUUAUUUAGUUAGUCUUGGCAAUAUUCCAAUUUUACCCUUAUUUCACUAAUUUCCUGACUUUUUCUCAGCUAUUGCCGUCCAAAAUAUCUCCCUUGGGAAAAUUAUCUCUUUAGGUCCUUCCUCAUUAGACACUUAAGCUAUUUAAUCACUUUCACAAGUUUUACACCUUUACAAUUUAGUCCUUUUUAUUUAAUUAACCACCCAAACGAUAAAAUUUUCUAACAAAAUUUUAACAUCAUAUUACUAACACUCCAUAAAUAUUUAUAAAAAUAUUUAUGGCUCUGUUUUACGGGAUCGAGGUCUCGAUACCUCUUUUUCAACUUAAUUUAUUUAAUAAUUUCUCUUUAAAUUUUAAUUUCACCUAUUUAAAAUAUUUCUAACAUCUCUCUCACUUCUAAAUAUUAUUUUAUUUUAAUUUUAUAAUCCCAAUCAUGGAAUUUAGUGAUCUCGAAUCACUGUUCCGACACCACUGAAAUUUAGGCUGUUACAAAAAGGGUAUCUUUCGUGCUGUGUACUAUAGAAUCAAUGUUGACUCGUGUCUGAUUCCCAUUAAUGUAGUAGUGUUCGUAAAAAUCUAGUUUUCCAACUCUUGCACUCGAGAGAAAACCACUCUUACUGAAGAUGGGCAUACAUUUCUCGCUCAUAUGGCCAAGUUUCAUAUGCCAUAAUUGAGUCAAGCCCGACUCUGUAAUAGACGAGGAAAUUGUUGUUAUACCAGUCACUGUUGAUCCUUGUAGAAUAUAUAGAUUGUCGGUCUUCUAACCUCUUAUCAAAAUGAGAGCUCAAUGAUAUAUCUUAAUGCCAUUUGAAUCAAUGAUGAUCUCACAACCAUUCAAGUCUAAAAUACCCAAAGAGAUGAGGUUCUUCUUCAAAUCAGGCACAUGCCUGACAUCUGACAGUGUCUUGAUGAUUUCAUUGCGCAUUAUGAUCUAAACGAUACCAAUACCAGUUAUCUUAUAUGGUAAAUUAUUCCCAAUAAAUACAACUCCACCUUCAACUAAACUAUAUGUUGAGAAUCAGUCCUUAUUGGGACACAUAUGGUAAGAACACUUCGAAUUUAGGAUCCACUCGGAUAUAAGUUUAGACCUUUCAACCAUAUACAAUAGCAACAAAUCAUCACCCUUAUUUUCGGCUACACUAGCAUCAGCUACCUCAGCCUUCUACUUCUCUUUCUCGUCACACUUAGUAGCCUUCCUGCUUUUAUUUUGCAUCUUAUAACACUCUAUCUUGAAAUGACUGAACCUUUAAAGUAGCCACAUGUUUUUUUCUUGAUUCCUCGACUUAGAUCUCGACCUAGGCUUGCCCCGAUAUGAAUCCUUAGAUUGUUGUCUGCUUCUUACAAUCAAAUGAAGUUUGUUGAUCCGACUUGCUACCUAAACCCAAAUCAUUAUUGAGUUUUUCUUUGCUCAACAAAUUACCCUUCACAUUCUUCGAAUAAGAGCUUAUCUCUAUUAUAAAUCAGGGUCUCUCUGGAUGUCUUAUAUGAAUGGGGCAAAUAACACAAUAAUAGCAUAGUUUGAUCUUCAUCAUCUAUAUUAACCUCGACAUUCUUCAUGUCAUUCAAGAGAGUAAUAAAUUCACUUAUGUGAGCUCCAAUGGAUUCACAUUUGACUAUAUAAAAUAUGUACAAACAUUGUUUCAACACCAAUAGAUAAGUUAGAAACUUUGCCAUAUACAGGGAUUCUAACUUCCUUCAUAAAGCAAGUUUCUUUUUCUCUAUCAGCACCUCCUACAACACAUUAUUCAUAAGGCACAACUGAAUUGCAGACAAAGCCUUCUCAUCAAGUUCAUCCCAUUCAGACUGAUCUGAAUUUUUAGACUUUUGAUCGGUAAUGACCUUUAAGUCGUUCUACACUAGGAUUAUAGUCCUCUAAACUUACCACAAAUUGAAAUUUUUGAUUUCAUUGAACUUCUUGAUAUCGAAUUUUGUUGUCAGCAUCUUUGAAUGAGUCGAUUGCGGAAUCCUAACCAAGCUCUGAUACCAAUUUAUUGGGAAUCAACCCGAAUAAACAAUAAAAAAUAGAGAAGAUUAAGUACACAAAUUUAUGUGGAAAAACUCCUCUAAUCGAUAUGACCAAAAGGAUAAAAAAACCAUGAGAAAAGUAGGCUUUGACUUUUCACUAAUGAGUAAAACAAACGAGGGUACAAGAUGGAGAAUAAAUGACCUAGAUGUACAAAUCCCUAAUCUUGAAAAUAAAACCCUCUCUCAAUUAAAAAGUUGUUUUUCUCACAUCUAUUAAUGUUAUAAUCGCCCUUUAAAUAGGCUAAGAUCAGAAGACUAAUAUGACUAAAAUAUCCUUGGAGUAAUUAGAGUUUGUCUAAGAGAAAAAGUCUUGCUUGACUAUCAAAAUGCGACUGCGUUAUUUGAGGAAUACGUCGUGUCAUCAUAGCGUCACAUGCUUUCUCAUCGCGACGUCGCCUUUGCUUUUUAAGAGAUUGCGUUUGUCUUCAACAUUGCGACACGGGUAGCGAUAAGUACAUGCAAAGUGUUAGAAAAAUGCUAGACACACUCCACAUAAUUAUAAAAUAUAUCUAUUCUUAAUAUAUAUACACGCGGGCCAAAGUUAUAAUAUUUAUGUACAUAUGUGGGCAAUGGAAAAUUCUUUUAGUUUACUUCGUGAUGGGAGUUAAAAAUAGGAGUUUAAAAGCAUAAAAAAAGGGAUAAUAGGCUGGUUAAAAAAAAGGGGUAAUAAGGAGGAUAGAAAAGUUGAAAAAAAUAUAUUUUCUAUUUUUUUUACAAUAAAGACAACUCUUAAAAAACAACACAAAUAAAGGAGAAAAAGAAGAACGCACAUAGAAAAAAAGAACUCUCAAAAUUAUUUUGAAAAAGGGGAUGACCAGGGUGUAGCUAGGGGACUGGCAAGAGCUCCGCCCCACUAAAAUAGAAAAAAAUCUAUAUAAGUCCUAUAAAUUUUUUAAAUUAGUAAAGAUAAAAUUACACUUUAACUUCCCUAAAAUAAUAAAAAAUUAAUUUAAUUAUUUAAAAAUUAUAAAAAUAUAAACUAUUAAAAUAAUAAAAUUACAUUUUUAUUAUCCCAAAAUUACAAUUUAAUUUUUCACCUCCUAACAAAAUUCCCUAGGAACGACUAGUGAAGAACGGGGAGACCCGAAAAAAAGGACGUGUAAUUAGAGCGAGGAAUAUACAGUACGCAGGUAGUGAAUUGAAAAUACACAGCUUUGACUGCUAUAUAUUCUAUAUAUCUUGGAGCACAAUGUGAGAAGCAUGGGUUGCUAACACGUGUUUUAGGCGACAACAUAAUGAUGUCUCCACCGCUUAUAAAUAUUACUCCUCAAGAGGUUGAUGAAGUAAGUUAAUUGGAUGUUACCUCUGUCUGCUGAAUUAUGUAUAGAUUUUGAAGCAUGUCAUGUUCAUCGUGAUUGCUAUAAAUAUUGGUGCUGUAGAGGGCCAAAACUACAUAAAGAUGAAUAACUGAAAACUUGCUACUCCUUUGUUUCUCUUGGUUGACAUAUGGAAAUAGCAACUCUAGGUGUUUUUAAGCAGAGUUGUAAUAAUAAAUAAUAACCCUUUGACUCGUUACGCUCUGCAGUUAGUAAGCAUAUACGGGAAAGCGUUGAAGGCUACGGAGGAGAGGGUGAAGGAACUCAAGUCUGGGCAGAAGAAACAAUGAAUAGUUUUGUAUUGAUGAUGGUGAAAAUUAUAUAUGCUGCUUCAUGUGAACUGAAAGCCAUUCGGGGAGUUCAUACUAAAGACAUGUUUUGUGUAAGAUAUCUGGUGCCUUAAUAAAGAAUUGUUUUUCCUCAUAUUUCGUUUCUUGUUUUUCUCCUACUUUUUAUGUGUGCUGUUUUUUAUAUUUUUCUCGAUCUAUUGCUGAACUGAACUCUCUCUGUUUAGCUACAAAUAUUUUUGUUAUUGCUUCAAAUAAACUAAAUACAUGUAUUAAGAUAAAAACACUUCUUUUUCGCACAACAGUAAAAGCACUUACGUACCAAUGAGGUCCUAUAGUAUUAGUAUUAUAUACAGCAAAUCCAUGAUCGACACUAAUACAACCUGAAACUUAGAAUUUGUGAUCCAAGUAAGAUUAGCUUAGGGUUUUGAGAUUUAUAUUUAUCAAAAAGGGUGAAAUUUCCUCUUAUCUAUAUAAAAUAAUAUGAUACCUUAUACUCGAUUUGAUUGUCGAAUCCGAUAUGAGAUAUCUCAUUCAUUGCUAAAGCAAUUCCAAUUAGUUUCUAUUUAAGUUUUAUUAAAAAUACCUGAGAAAUAGUCAAUUCAAACAAGACCAUCAACUUGGGGUCAUUUAAAACACUUUAGAAGCAUUUUUAAAUGAGUUUUAGAUAUUCAGAGGUGAUUAAGAUUAAGUUCGGGUCUUUAGGUUUAAAACAACUCAAAAUAGGGAAGGAAUACUUGUUUGACUCACUCUUAUUAAUAUAAGAGAGUACUUGUGUCGAUACAUCUAGUUAGUACUGUUCAUUUUUUUGCUACUAACUUACUUAUAUCGAUAUAUUUAAUUAUUUAUAUCAAAAUAAAUUUAUCAAGACCUAAAAAUGACCCAUAAAAUCACUCAAAACAUUACUAUAUCAUUUUUAAACAUUAUGGAGCAUAUCCAAACAUCUUUAAACUCAUUCGAACUCAUUGAUAUUAACAUGAUCACUAACAUUUUCAAUUUCAAUCAUCAAAUUCACUAACUUGACAUGCAAACAACACUUGAUAAUUUAUUGAUAAAAAAAUAGAAAGAAAAAGAAGGUAAGAAGCAGUUUUGGACUUCCUUUUACACAUAUUAUAAAUAUAUGGAUCUAAAUGGAAUUAAGUUAAUUUAAUUAAUUUGUUAAAUUUUAACUCAAAUUCAAUUGAAAUUGAGAUCUGGUGUGCCUUUGAACGUGUAAAAAUAAAAAAUAAAAACAUUAACAAAUUUGUGGCCAUAGAUUCCGCUUGGUCGUGUGCCGCUCAGCGGCAGCAGUAGCAGAUAAGAUAUUUUUUUCUUUGCUUUAUUUUUUCUUUCUCUUUCGUUUUUUUUAUUUGAAGUAAAAAAAUUACGUGUCAACAUCUUAAAACAGAAACAGUGCUCCUUCUGGCUUUUUCUUUUUUCGGUGUCAUGUCUUAUUUUUUAUUAAUUGGUAAUAAUAGAUUACAGAUUUGGGAAGUGGGAAGUGGGUUUGGGGUGGGGACGUCAACAGUUAAUGAAUUUAAUGAGUCAAUCAAUGAUAGGUACUACUACACUUUUAGGUUUAAAAUAAAUUAAAUUAUCAUACUUCAUGAUUUAAUUUUGAUUUAUACCAUGUGAAAAAAUAAUUAUAAACUUAUAAUAUGAUUAUGUUAAAACUUAUACAAAAUAAAUAUUAUUUUAUAGUAAACUAUACAAAUAAUUACAAAUUUUCAUAAAUUUUCAUUUUAAAUUUUUAUUUUGGUCAUUAUGAAUAUAAGGAGUAACGUAAAUCCAAGUUCGCAUCCUAACUCUUUUUUUUUUUUUAUAUUUCCACGUUAUUGAUAAAUAAAUUUUAUAAUUUUUCACCAGCUAAGCAUCUGUUUUAAACCAUGAAUUUCCAAGUAGGCAUUUGUUUUAAACCCCAAAUAAAAUUAAAAUUGAUAAAUAGUUUGAACCAAACCCUAAAUCAUGAACUGAAACUAGUUGAUUGUUUAUUUGUUUGUUGCUUAGGUGAAAAGUCAGAGCCUCUCUCUUUUCUCAAAUAAUUUUCACUUGGUUGUUCAUUAAACUUGUUUGUCGGUAAACAAGAGCAGCCCAAUCCCAUUUUUAUCAUUUUUGACCUACUCUAACCAAGGGUCUUGUAUAACCUCAGUACAUAUAUCCCUCCCCUCCUUGGCUUGAAGACAUUGUGCUAAACCUAGUGUAUUGGUCGAAGCUGUCGUUUCUUGGUAAAAGAAAAAAAAAACUGAAGUUCUCCUAUUGGGUUUUGGGAGACGGAGUUUGGAUAUCUCUAUAGGCUCAUGUUGCCUUUGCUUUCUUCAGAUUCUACUUGUUAUUGCUGCCUCUGUUGUUAUUUCUCUUGUUCACUUGUUGAACCACUGGUCUACAUUCAUUCAUCCCUUCCUUUUUUUUUUUCCGCUUAAAUAAUAAUAAAUUUUUGUGGUCUUUAUUUUUAUAAAUAAAUUAAAUGUUUUUUAUGUAAAGGUUAAAGUCAUUUUAAUUCUCAUGAUAUACUUCUCAUCAAUUAUAUGUUUUAAUUUUUUAUACUUAUUUUGGAACAUGAACUAUAUUUUAAUUCAGAAAAAAAUGUGAUAGGAUAAUUUAAAUAAUUAAAAAAAAUUAACCAAAUAAGGAUUUGGAAGAUAUUUGAAAAAUUUUAGAUUGACAAGGAAGUUAUUGGAAAGAGUAAAUAAAUAAAUAAAACAAAAUCUUCAUCUUAAUUUGAAAGAUAAAUUAUUAAAAUAGUCACUUUCAUUUGUCUCAGAUUAUUUUGUAGUCACUUAUGUUUAAAAUGUUAUGUUUUUAGUCACUUUACGUUAUCGUGCUGUAACAUUUUAGCUACUGAGUGUUAAUUGUCAUUAACAGUGUAACGGUAAGCUGACGUGGCAUCUUAAAUCAUCAUUUUAAACAAAUUUUAGGUUAAAUUAUACAAUUAGUCCCUACUUUUUUAUUUUGAGCAAUUUAAUUUUUUUCUUUUAUGUUCUUUGAACCUUUUUUUUUUCAUUCUCUUCUCAUUCUCCCUCUAUUUUUCUCCCUUCUCCAUUUCUUUUAAUGUAGUUUUUUUAUUUAUAUUUUUCAUUUGUUAAAACUAGUUCCUAUACUAUUAUUUUUUUCUUUUUAUUUCUUUACUUUCCUUUUCUUUUCCCCCCUUUAUUUAUCUCUCUUGUCAUAUUCUUUACUGCAGAAACAUAAUUUUUACCCACCAAAUAAAUAAGUUUUUGUUUCUUUCACAUGAUUCUUAAAUUGAAUUUUACUGAAAAUCGAAUAUCAAUCAUUCUUAAUCAAAAUCUAAACAUAAAUUAAAUUCCUUAUAUUCAAAAUAUUUCUUAACCAAAUCUAAACAUAAAUUGAAUUCCUUAUAUUCAAAAUAUUUUUUUUAAAUUUUUACAAAAUCGUGUAAAUUAUUCAUCUCCUUGCCUUUCCUUUUAUUUUUUAACAAAUAAAAAUUAAGCAAACGAUAAAAUUGAUCAACCUUAUUGGAUAUUCUCAAGCAAGCUUAAUUGGACGUCGAGCAUGGAUGAACCGAAGAGAGAAAGAGAGCAUAGAUGAACCAAAGAGAGAAAUGGAGCAUGGAACCAAACUAGUUUGGGUAAAGUUGAGGGUAAGUUUCCUAUGGUGGUCGUUUUAGUCAUUGAGAGUGUAGAGCUCAAUUGAAAAAUCUGUGAAACAACGUAGUUUCAAAAGGGUGAGAAUUUUGUAGGUAAGAUAGAUAAGGUGGUCGUAAGGGUUGAUUAGGAGGUUAAGGGAAUGAGUUCGGGAAACUUUGAUGAGGGUGGACUGCCAUAAGUCACGACUGAUGAGGUCUUUGAGUAAGGCGAGUUUGUGGACUACGUCAUUAAGAGAUACAACGUUAAAGCGAUGAUGGAUGAUGAGGAUUUGUAAUUGUGGAUUGAGAAUAUGCUAUGCAUGUUUUAUUUUGGUUUAUACUUUCGCUUUUCUUUUUUCAUAAACAUAAAAAAUGUUUUACCAAGUAGAAAACAUAAAAAAAACUACGUUGAAUGAGAUGAAGAAGGGAGGAAAAUAAAUGGAGAAGCAAAAGAGAAUAAAAAAUAAAGACAAAAAAGAAAAGUUAAAUGAACAUAAAAAAAAUUAAAUUGCUUAAAAUGAAAAAAUAUGGGGACCAGUUGUAUAAUUUAACUUAAAAUUUUUAUUUGAAAUGAUGAUUUAAUGUGCCAGAUCAUCUCACCGUUACACCAUUAAAGACAAUUAACAGCUUAGUGACUAAAAUAUUACAAUACGUUAACAUAAGUGACUAAAAUAAAAUAUUUUAAACAUAAAUAACUAAAAUAUAACAUGAGAUAACCAAAACUAACUAUUUUUACCUUAAUUUGACAGGUUACUUGUUAUAUGUGCUCGUUUAUUUAUGGAUUCAUAUAAUAAAAAUCAAACCUUAAUUAGUGUUGAAGUGUUUCAUUUCUCUCAAGGCACUCUAUGCUUUUGGCCUUUUGCUCCUCUGCAUGUUUUUGUUUUCACUUUAUACUAGAGGUGAUCAAAAUUCAAUUCGAUUCGAAAAAGUCAAAAAAAAUUUCGAAUUUCGAAUUAUUCGAAUCGAGUUAAUCGAAUUAAUCGAGUUAAUCGAAUUAACUCAAAUUUUUUUCGAAUUUCGAGUUCGAGUCGAGUUAAAUUUUUAAAUUCGAAUAACUCGAAUAAUUCAAAAAAAACGAAUAUAAACUAUAUUUUUUAAAUUUUUUAAAAUUUUGGGCUUUUACUUAAACCCAAUUUCCCCCAAGCCCAAACAUUUUAUAAUUUCCAUUUCCCCAAGCUCGUCUGCUCAAGCCCCAAAGAUUUAUUUUCCCAAAUCCCAAUUCCUUCCCCAAGUCAAACCUUCAACAAAUUCCAAAUCCCAAAUUAUUUUUCUUUUUCUCUUCAUUUCCAUUCAAUUCAAUUCAAACUCUAAAAUCUAUUUUUCUCAAAAUACCCUAAACUCACUUAUUUAUUCACUUAUUUACUUCAAUUUUUUGUUUUAUAAAUUUUUUUUUGAAAAAUUACAUAAAAAUAAACAAACUAAAAUUAUUUUUUUAAAUUUAACUCGAACAAAUAUAUUCGAUUCGAUUCGAUUUGAUCGGAUGCUCCCCGCUACUUUAGGCAAUAAAGAAAGAGGUGCCCAACAGCCUCCUCCGAUCAACUCCCAAAACCCAAGUUCUAACUUCUUCAAUAAACUUCUACAGUUUUUUCUUUUUCUACUGUUUGAUCGACCCUUUCUUCAGAUUAAAAAAAAAAAAACCCUAGACUUCUUCAAUGUCACUUUUACAUUUCUUUCAAGUCUCUAAAAAAGCAUUUGGCUUCGUUUCGCGACGAGGGAGCCAACCAAAUUCCACACUUCCGGAGGAACUAUGCAUUCGUCAGUUUUCACUAGCAGAGAUCAAAGCUGCGACUGCCAACUUCGAUGAAGGCUUUAUUAUUGGUAUAAGUAAUUUUGGAUCUGUAUACAAAGGGGUUAUAGAUGAUGGGACCUUUACAGUUGCUAUCAGACGCAUGAAAUUUAGUCUUAGUGCGUUCCGAACUGAAGUGGUAUUCCUUAGCCAGCUGAACCACUUAAAUGUUGAAUCUCUCAUUGGAUUCUGCAAUGAGAAGGGGGAAACAAUCCUUGUUUAUGAAUACCUGAGCAAUGGGUCGCUCUUUGAUUAUCUCCAUGGUAAUGGUAUCAGUUGCAAUCCAAUUGCCUGGGAAAAGAGGCUACAAAUCUGCAUUGGUGCAGCGCGUGGAUUACAUUACCUUCAUACCGGAGUAAAGUAUAUAGUACUGCACCGCAACGUGACCAGCAACACUAUUCUUUUAGAUCAUGAAUUGGUUCCUAAACUUUCUGGGUUCUUUUCGUCCAGGUUAGGGCCUCAUAGCAUGUCAAAAGCUUCAAUUAAAAAAGAGUCGCUAGAUGUGAUGGCUACUUUCGGAUGCCUUGAUUCAGAAAAUCUGUCAGGAAAAAAUGAUGUCUAUGCAUUUGGUGUUGUCUUACUCGAAGUAAUUUGUGGUAAAACACCAGUCUUUGAAGCAAAUGGUCAGAAAAGAUCUCUGGCUGCCUGGGCAAAUUGGUGUUUCAAGAAUGGGACCAUUUAUCACAAUAUUGAUCCAUAUUUAAAGGGGAGGAUAGCCCCAGAGUGCUUCAACAAGUAUGCGGAGAUUGCUAUGUCUUGUAUCUCUUAUAGCGCAGAUGAACGACCAUCCAUGGGUGAAGUAGAGUCGACUCUACAGGAUGCACUGGAACUGCAGAAGAAAGCAGACUCUGAAAUGAAAUGUAUAAUUCCUCACAGCGAGGUCAUGUAUGAAGUUGAACUAUUUUGUGCACCUUAAUAACAAUGAAGAAUGAAAAGCCAUGAAUUGUGAUAAAAUUUCUGGCAAUGAUAGCACAGCAGUUGGGGAUUUAAUAGCCAUUGAGGUAUGAAGAUACAAAACAGAUGUGCCUUUAGUUGAUGUCUAUGGGAACUACAGUGUUCUGUUUGUUUAUAGAAAGUUUCUUCCAUUGCUAUUGAAGAUAUAUAUCUAUACAUGCCAUUUCUAAAUUUGUUAACAGAAUUAGUGCCCUUUCUCAUUAGCAUGUAUACACCAAAUUUUUUCUCAAUUUACAGGACUUUUGUCUACUUGUUAAGGAAAGGAACAUGCGAUUGUGUUCACGGAUUUGCUUGAGUCAGUUGAUGUAUAAAAAUUGUUUGUUUGUUUUCAUUUGUCUGUUUCAAUUGCCAGCUGGAAAUCCAAGUAACCAGACCACCAUUGCUUCAACUUGCCCAUAUUCAUUCUCCUUGUCUACAUUUCUUUCUGUUGGCGUUUUGGAGGAGAGAAGGAAGAAAAACAGGACACAGUACAAGGCAGCAAGAUGCAAGAAAUAUUUUCAUUUGCUCACAAAUGUGCAGCAUGGGAGCUUAUGGCUUUUAGCUCAUUUUGCUCAUCUUUUUCAAUAAGAAAAACAAUACAUUUAUAGCCAAAUACAUCACCAAAUACUACCUACUACCACCAAGUAGCCUAAUAAAUUGAUAAACAUUGCUUGUACACAUAAACAAGCCAUCUAAAUUAGUUAUUCAACACCUAAAUGUAUCAAGCUGUUAUCAGCUUGUUCAUUUUCAACUAAGUUUAAUUACAAUGUAACUAAACAAAAAACAUUGCUGUUACAGCAAGCAUAUAUGCAGCAGCAUGUUUACAAGCUGCAUGCACUUCAACCAAAAAUAUCACAGCAGCAUGGUUGACCAAUUUUCAACACUUUCCUCGGUGGCAACAGAUAUAAUCACCUAUUAUUCACUUAAAGGUGAGACCCAUUUUUCAAUCCCACAGAAGUUUUCUCCCCGUAUAUAUAUACACAUAUGGCCUAACUAAUUCUUUAGCCCCCUAAGAGGUCUACUUGAAACCCACAUCACUAAUGGCCUGGGGUUCACUGCAUUAAGGAAGCAUCUGACUUAAGUCUCUUCCAAGCAAAACCAUCUCAAUAUUUCUUAAGCUCAUAGCCGGUGCAAUAAAGGUGAUGUAUAUAAACAAAUGAGCAUCCACAUCUCUCCCUUCUUUAACCAGUGCUUUUCCCACUUGUAAAGCAAGGCCAGCCCCCAAUUAAUGACGUGCAAUACCUACAGUUCUGCUUCCAUUCCUUUUCACUGAUUGAUUUUUAAUGCCUCAAUGCUCCUUUAGAUCUUACAGAGCUUUCUGAAGACCUCCGUAUCCCUUCUUAUAGUAGAGAUAACACAGCAUGGUGCUCCACUAGGUCUAAUGAGCACAAAGUCAGGCAGGGCCAGUCACUGAUCCCAUUGUAGUACUGCUACGAAUAUAUAAAUCCAUCCCUUUCAUCAAUCAAAGUCUGGGGUAGCUAGAAGGUCAUCCACCGGCUUGGGGCAAAGAGCAUUUUCCUCUGUUCUGCUAUCUUGUCUUGUAAUCACACUGCCUCAUUUGGGGACUACACAUCAGCUGUAACUACUUUUAAGUGCUGAACACAUCAGCUGAUGUUCUAUACACAUUGCUUUUAAUAUAUGUAUUCGUAAUAUGCAUUUUCUUUAAAAAAAAGAUGAGUUGUUGUAUCAUUCAUUUUUACGUGGAUUUAAUUUGAGUUAUGGAUAUUGAUAUAUAAGUAUAAAAAUAUGUAUAUAUUUAAUGCGGUAAAUUCAAAAAAAAUUAAAAUCUUUUUUAUAUAUUUAGAUGAUUAUAUUAUGUAACACACAAAUAUUAGACACAUGCACUAUAAGAAUCCAUUAAACAUAAAUUUAGUUAAACUGGGGACAUAUUAAAACAAGUGAAACUAUCAUGUCCAAUGGAACUGUGUAAAUUCUAACCUUCAUCGCUGAUAAUAACUUAUAUGAAUAGAAACACCAGCAAAAUACCCUCAAUAAAAAGCCUGAUGGAAAUUUUGUUCACAAGUUUUAUUAUGUUCUAAAAACCAAUCCUUCAAAAGAAAAAAUCCAAAAUAUAGAAGAGAAAAAAUAACAAAGUUGUUACUAAUAUCGGGCCAAGCUCCUUUCCAUUAUUAUUUUUAUCCAUUAGUAUCCUAUAUUAAUUUAAUCACCAUUCAUGACCGAAUCCUAUACAUAUAAAUGGUGAUUAUACAUUUAUUGAAAAAUAAUGAAUUAGAUAUUAACAUGUGAUGAUGACAUAUUUUUUUAAACAAAACCUUUUGUAGCGACGUAAAAAUUAGCUUUAGCUUCGGUCGCUAAUUGUGGCGAUUAAAAACUUGGAAAUUGAAAUUUGAUUUAAAAUAAACCGGGAGUCGCCACCGAUCCUUUUUUCUAGGUGUGAUAGGACACCUAUUAGAUUUCUUUUUAAAAACGAGAAAAAGGCCGAGUUAAGGUCUACGUUAAAAGCCAGAGAAAAAUUAGGGUUCGGGAGUCGGUUACGCGCGAGGAAGGUAUUAGCACCCUCGCGACGCCCAAAAAUUGGUAUCUCAUAAACAAGUGUUGUCUUGAUUUUCAAAAAUAUGAGUUCAAAGUAAUAUUCAAUCGUGAUCCGAUUCAAAAGACAAAAACUUUCAAUUUUUGAUUUCCCUUUUUUUUUUUUUGAGAAGGGUAUACCGAUUAAACACGAACCGAAAAAUUCCACUCAACAUAGCAAUGGAACCGUCGACUUGGUAUUAAACCGAUAUGUUGCCUUUGAUUAUCGAAAUUAAUUUAGAAACAAGAACGUGAUUUUUUAAAACGUGUAAGACAAAAUGAAUACAGAAAUAAAUAAACAAAUGAAAGGACUAGGUAUACAUAUUGGAGCAAAUGACAAACAUAACAAAAAUAUUAAAACAAUAACCGUGCAUGCUAGAUUAAAUAUGACAAUAAUAUCGAAAACGAAAAAAAACAUUGAAUAUACAUAUGUAAAAGUGACAUUACGAAUAUAUACAUAAAAAUAGGGAUGAAAAGAUUUACAUAAUAAUAUUAAUAUGUGUACAUAAUAUAUAUAUAUACAUAUAAUAAAAUACAUGUAUUGAUAAUAUAUAUGAUAAGAAUAAAAUAAAUGUAAUAAUAUACAUAUAAGAAUAUAAAAUCUAGUUAAGACUAUGGAAAAUAUAUAAAACGACGUAUGAUUUAAAAAGAUAACAUUAAAAAUAUGUAUAUACACAAUAUAGAAUCAAAAAAUAUAUAUAUAUGUAAUACAUAUUAAAAGGAUACAUAUAAUAUACAUGUACUUCAAAAUAAUGUUAAAAGAGUAACUAUUAAUUAUAUUGCAUGAAAUAUACAUAUACAUUAGAAACGAUAACGACAUAGAAUGAACUUACUAGUACAUUACAUGGAUAUGUUCGUACGUGGGUAUAAAUAAAUGGGAUAUUAGAAAUACUCAAUAUUUAUGGUGUUCAAAAUAUAUACAUAACAUAAUAUAUAUAAAUAUAUAUAUACAUAACGUAGUAUUAAAAAUAAACAUAAUAUAUAUAUGUUGAAACUAAUAAUAAUAAAACCGUCGAUAAUACUUAAUAAGUGUAUGUCUAUACACUGAAAAUAUACGCAAUAAUACAUAAAGUAUAGUAUUAAAGCACAUGUCUUUAAUAUAAAAAAUACAUAUAUAUAAUAAUAUAAUAUUGAAACAUUUACAAAAUUUAUACACAAAAAAAAACCUAAUAGUAAUGCCACAUGUAUACAUAAAUAUAUUAAGUAUAUACAUACAUAAAAUAUACAAUAAUAUAACAACACUAAUAAUAAUAAUAAUAAUGUAAAAGUGACAAGGAUAUUGGAUAAAUAUAUAAAAUAAACAAAAAAGGACUAAAAUUAAAUCACAAACGAAGUUAUGGGGCCAAUUUAAAAAAAGACAAAAAUAUGGGGCCUAUUUGAACACGGGUAAAACCAUGGGGUAUUAAAAGUGCAAUAUUUCAAACUUUCCAAAAUGCUGCGCAGGUAAGGGACCAGAAUGAACUCGGAGCAAAACUAUUGGGGCCGAAUUAAAAUAAAAUAAACUUGAUUGUAAAUUAUCAGAAAAGCGGAAAGGCCAAACGCGCAAUUAGCCCUUCCGCUGUAAAAACACGCGGAUCCUGACCCGACCCGCACUAAAACUACGACGUUUUAAUUAUUAAAAGGGGGGACCAAAAUGCACCGUUUUGGUCCCCUGUAUAAGCAAAUUUUUUUUUUCAUUUGAAACAGCUGAGAGAGAAAAAAAAGAAAAGGGGGAGGGGAGAGGGAAGCCCGGAGUGAUUUCCGGCCAAGGGGGAGGGCUCCGGUCCGAUCGCCGGACCGUUGCCGGCGCCGGCGCCGGCCACCGCGGAAAAGGUAAUUUUCUAUUUUUUUCUCUUUUUUUUGCUUUUUAUUUCUUUAUGUUUAUUUGUAAAUUUUUAUGUAUUUGUGGUGAAAAAAUGGACUUAAAACAGUUAUUGAAAUGAAGAAUUACCUUCGGUUUUACUCACUUUUGAAUCUUCGAUCUUGUGUAUUCUGCCUGCUUGGAUGUUAUUUUGUGUUCAAACUCUAAUUAGGCUACUAUUUUUUGCUCUCCAAUCGAACCUUUCUGUCGUUUUUAUUUUUUAAGAAACAAAGAACAAUCCCCCCUUUACAAAUUUUCCAUUUAGGCUUUAUAGCCGAAUGUUCCAAAGAAGAGUACAAAAAAUAUUGUUUCUUCCAUUUGCUACUGCUCUGUUGCUGCUGUUGUUUUGUUUCCUUUUUGCAGGUACAGAGUUUGUUGUCAUGCAUACGGGGUGUGGGCGUGGCGUACGAGGACUGUGGAGGUAUGGGACUGUUGUAGUGGGCGUAUGGGGCGUGGCAGACGUCGGUGGUGACAGAGGCAAGUGGGCGCCGAAUGCUAGGGGGCUAGGGUUUGGGAUUAGGUAUUUUUGUUUCUGAUUUUGUGUAAUAGGCUGUUAGUUUAGUGGGCUGGUAGUUUAGGUUAUUGGGCUUCGGGUAUAUGGGUUCAGGGAUAUUGGGUUCUGGUUGUAAAUGGGGUUUGAAUUUUGGGUUGGCUGAUGUAUUAGUUAGGCUUAAUGGGUAUUGGGCUGUUUAGGUUAGGGUAGGUUAGUUGGGUUUUGGGGUUUAAUGGGUUAGUGAUUUAAUGGGGUUUGAAAUUGGGUUGAGGGAUUAUAAAAUUGUAAAUGGGUUCUCUGUAAUAGUAGCUAAAAUUGGCCUGUACAGCUGCCCCUCUUUGCUCAUUGUCGUGUAACGAGAAUAGAGCAAAGACACAAAGAAAGGCCAAUUUUGCCCUGUCUUGCGAGUCUUGACUUCAUUGGUGCUCUUCUUGUUCAGAUAGUCUUCUUCCAGUCCACUGCAUCUUGUAGCUUUAGAUUCAAUCCACUACAUCUUCUGACAUAUGCCUUGUAGCUUCAAUCUACUCCAAUGUAACUUCAAGGAUAUGAGAUUUGUGUCUUCGAUCUGCUUUAUUGUAACUCCAGAGAAAUAAAGUCUACAGCUUUGAUCUGCUUUUCUAUUGCUUCUGUGAGAUGAAAUUUGCGAUCUUCUCUUCUAUAACUCUAGCAAGGCAAGAUCUGAUAUCCUCGAUCAGCUCCACUGUAACUUCAGGAGACAAAAUCUGACAUCUUCAAUUAGCUCCAAUCUUUAUUCUUGACUCGGCAUGUGAUCUUGAGUUCAACUCGUUUCUCGUAAUAUGAAUUGACUCUUUAAAAACAGACAUUAAAAACAAAAACUAAAAAUAUCUCAGCAUGUGAACUGAGGCUCAACUCACUUUUCGCAAUAUGAGUUGAUUUUUUUUACAACAGAAAUUGAAAUUACCUCAGCGUGUCCUGAGGCUCAACUCACCUCUCACCAUAUGAGUUGAAAUUAAAACACAAAAAUUAAAAAUACCUCAGCGUGCCCCGAGGCUCAACUCACCUCUGGCAAUAUGAGCUGAUUUUGAAAAAGUAGAAAUUAAAAGGUGCAACCCACCUCUCGCAAUAUGAGUUGAUUCUUGAACAACAUAAAUUGAAAACAGAAAUUGAAAAUACCUCAGCGUGACCUGAGGCUCAACUUACCUCUCGCAAUAUGAGCUGAUUUUUUUGAAAAGUAGGAAUUGAAAAGCAGAAAUUGAAAAUACCUCAGCGUGCCCCGAGGCUUGACUCACCUCUCGCAAUAUGAGUUGGUUUUAGGAAAGUAAAAAUUAAAAACAGAAUUUGAAUAACAGAAUUUGAAAAUACCUCGACAUGUGACCCGAGGCUCAACUCAUCUCUUGCAAUAUGAGUUGAUUUUGACGAACGGAAUUUGAAAAACAGAAAUUGAAAAUAGCUCAGCACGUGAGCCAAGGCUCAACUCAUCUCUCGCAAUAUGAGUUGAUUUUUGAAAAACAGAAAUUAAAAGGCUGAACUCACCUUUCGCAAGAUGAGUCAAUUUUCUAAACAUAAACUAAAAAUACCUCAGCGUGCCCCUAGGCUUGACUCACCUCUCACAAUAUGAGUUGAUUUUGGAACAUAAAUUGAAAUUACCUCAACGUGUCUUGAGGCUCAACUCACCUCUCGCAAUAUGCGCUAAUUUUUGAAACAACAGGAAUUAAAAAUACCUCAGCGUGACCUGAGGCUUGACUCACCUCUCGCAAUAUGAGUCAAUUUUUUUGAAACAUAAACUAAAAAUACCUCAGCAUGUGACCUGAGGCUCAACUCAUCUCUUGCAAUAUGAGUUGAUUUUGACGAACGGAAUUUGAAAAAUAGAAAUUGAAAAUAGCUCAGCACGUGAGCCAAGGCUCAACUCAUCUCUCGCAAUAUGAGUUGAUUUUUGAAAAACAGAAAUUAAAAGGCUGAACUCACCUUUCGCAAGAUGAGUCAAUUUUCUAAACAUAAACUAAAAAUACCUCAGCGUGCCCCGAGGCUUGACUCACCUCUCGCAAUAUGAGUUGAUUUUGGAACAUAAAUUGAAAUUACCUCAACGUGUCUUGAGGCUCAACUCACCUCUCGAAAUAUGAGCUGAUUUUUGAAACAACAGGAAUUAAAAAUACCUCAGCGUGACCUGAGGCUUGACUCACCUCUCGCAAUAUGAGUCAAUUUUUUGAAACAUAAAUUAAAAAUACCUCAGCGUGUGACCUGAGGCUCAACUCAUUUCUCGCAAUAUGAGUUGAUUUUUGAAAACAUGAAUUAAAGAUACCUCAGAGUACCCAAAACAUAUCAUCUGGUGGAACUCAUGUGUCUUUUCCUUUGAUUCAAUACAACUAUCAUCACGUCCUUUGCUCUAUUGGAUUAACUGUAUAUGCCAUGCAUGAUGUUAUCAUGAUAUGCACAUGUUUGUCUUAAAUACCUUUAUGCCUACAUGAUUAUGCAGUGCUCCUUAAGCAUGUUUGUCGUAUGUCUUUUUUCGUCACGAUUCUUGUGAUGGUCCGCAUUCAUUAUUUCGGCUCUUGACUUUCUCUUUACGCCAUGUACCCGUCUUCAAGCUUCACGAGUAAUCGACGUUUCUCAGAUAACACUCUUUUUUCCUGGUUGAAUUAAGGCUCUUGUACUUAUCAAAUUUUCAUUCGGGUAAUGCUUAACAUUUCUUUUGUUUAGAGUAUGUCAUUUCACUAUUUAUCAUUAAAUAAACACAUAAUGAGAUGCAUGAAAAUGGUCAGGUCGGGACAAAAAGGAUAUCUCAUAUUCCUUUAUCACAAAUGUGGCAAACAAAGAAAGUUAACCAAUGAGAGUAAAAAUGCCAGAAAGAAAGGAUCGUAUUCGAUGGGUACAAAUGCUCUAGAUAUUCAACACAUGAACUUUUCCACGUUCCUCAAUCAAGAAUCUUUUCGAGCAUGGCUUCUUGCGUAGAAAAUUUCGAGCUUUCAGAAAUGCUUCAAAUACAGUAACCUCACUGUUCGACCCACUGUUCAAAAUGCCACGCUCUUUAAGCCAGGUUUACCUCAUUAGGAUGCCCUCUCGGGUUUUCAUCCUAAUCUUUUGUUCUAAUCAAGACGCCCUUUGUGGGUUUUCGCCUUGAUCCCUUUUUUUUUUAAAGAUGCCCUUUUCGGAUUUUCAUUUUGAUUUUCUCUUUCAAGCAUAAUAUUUCUUCACCGCAUCUGAAUUCACCGAAUUCGGUAACUCCUUCCCAUCCAUCUCGGUAAGGAUCAAAGCUCCUCCUGAGAAUGUCUUCUUUAUGACGUACGGUCCUUCCCAGUUUGGUGCCCAUUUCCCUCGCAGAUCUUUUUGUAUUGGGAGAAUUUUUCUCAGCACGAGUUCUCCUUCAUGGAAUUCUCUUGGUCGUACCUUCUUGUCAUGGGCUGCGAUCAUUCUUUUUUGGUACAUCUGCCCGUGACAAAUUGCCCUGAGACGCUUUUCUUCAAUGAGGUUCAGCUGAUCAUAUCGAGCUAGUACCCAUUCUACUUCUUCUAACUUUGAUUCCAUUAAGAUUCACAGAGAAGGGAUCUCAACCUCGAUAGGUAGCACAGCUUCCAUUCCAUAGACUAGAGAAAAAGGAGUUGCUCCCGUAGAUGUUCGCAUAGAUGUGCGAUAUGCAAAUAGAGCAAAUGGAAGCUUCUCGUGCCAAUCUUUAUAUGUCUCAGUCAUUUUCCCAAUGAUCCUCUUGAUAUUUUUAUUGGCUGCUUCAACAGCCCCGUUCAUCUUUGGGCGAUAGGGCGAGGAGUUAUGAUGCUUUAUGUGGAACUGUUCGCACACUUCUUUCAUCAUCUUAUUGUUCAGAUUAGUGGCAUUAUCUGAAAUGAUUCUUUCAGGCAAACCAUACCGGCAAUUGAUUUUUUUUUUCAAAAACCUGCAAACUGCAGUCCUCGUCACAUUGGCAAACGAAGCGGCUUCUAUCCAUUUUGUGAAGUAAUCGAUGACCACAAAAAUGAAUCAAUGUCCGUUUGAUGUUUUUGGAGAAAUUGGCCCUAUAACGUCCAUGCCCAACAUAGCAAAAGGCCACGGAGAAGUCAUGACGUGAAGGGGCGAAGGGGCUACAUGAAUUUUAUUACCGUAGAUUUGACAUUUGUGACAUUUUCUUGCAAAAUUGAUGCAGUCACUUUCCAUCGUCAACCAAUAAUAACCGAGUCUCAUGAUCUUUCAGGCCAUAUUGAAACCAUUGGCAUGUGUUCCGCAGAUUCCCUCAUGGACCUCUUCAAGUAUUUUUCUAGCUUCAACAUCAUCCUCACAUCUCAAGAGCAUCUGAUCUUUUUCUCUCUUGUACAAGAUGUCCCCAUUAAGAACAAAUCCCGCUGCCAUUCUUCUGAUUGUUCUUUUGUCGUUCUCAUUCGCUUGUUCGGGGUAGUCUUGAUUCUUGAUAUAUUCUAAGAUAUCAUGGAACCAUGGACGCCCGUCUGCUUCUUUUUCAAUACUACAACAGUGUGCAGGGACCUCGUAUAUGCUCAUUUUGAGAGGCAUUAUUUCUGUUUCUUUACUUGCUUUGAACAUUGAAGCCAAGGUGGCCAGGGCAUCAGCCAAUUGGUUUUCUUCUCGCGGGAAGUAAUGAAAAGUUAUUUCUUUGAAUUCUUUGAUCAAUUCAGCCACUAAAUCACUGUACUUAAUCAAUUUUGGGUCCCUCACUUCUCGCUCUCCACGGAUUUGGUAAACCACUAGGGCUGAGUCCCCGUACACCUCUAAGAUUUUGAUGUUUCGUUCAAUAGCUGCACGAAGUCCCAUGAUACAGGCCUCAUAUUCUGCUAUGUUAUUGGUACAGAAGAAAUUCAGUCUUGCAGUGAACGGAUAAUGAUUCCCGUCUGGUGAUACCAGGAUUGCUCCAAUUCCAUACCCUAAAGCAUUUGACGCACCAUCAAAGCACAUCUUCCAUGACUUCUCUUUUGAUGACUCGGAUUCUAUUUCUAUGAUGCACAUUAAGUCUUUGUCUGGGAAAUCGAAUCUUAAAGGCUCAUAUUCCUCUAUCGUUCGAGUUGCUAAGAAAUCAGCUAUUGCGCUCCCUUUUAUCGACUUCUGACUUACAUAGGCAAUGUCAUAUUCCGAAAGGAGGAUCUGCCAUCGUGCCAUUCUUCCUGAUAGUGCCGGCGAUUCCAUCAUGUAUUUUAUUGGGUCCAGCUUGGAAAUUAGCCAUGUCGUGUGAUACAACAUAUAUUGUCUGAGUCUCCGAGCUACCCAAACCAAAGCGCAACAAUAUUUCUCAAUGGAUGAAUAUUUUGCCUCAUAUUCAGUGAACAUUUUGCUGAGGUAGUAGAUCGCUUUUUCUUUCUUUCCUGACUCGUCGUGUUGCCCCAGUAUGCAACCCAUUGAACUUUCGAACACAGUCAAAUACAAUAUCAAUGGUCUUCUAAGAGUUGGCGGUACUAGCACUGGAGGACUAGACAAAUAUUGUUUUAUCUUAUCAAAGGCCACCUGGCAUUCCUCGUUCCAUUCUCCCGGGUUAUGUUUUCGAAGAAGCCAAAAGAUUGGGUCGCAUUGGUUGGUAAGUUGAGCGAUAAAUCGGGCGAUGUAGUUUAAUCUCCCUAAAAAUCCUCUAACUUCUUUUUGCGUGCGCGGAGGUGGUAAUUCUUGGAUGGCUUUUAUUUUAUCUGGAUCAACUUCGAUACCUCUUUCACUGACAAUGAAGCCUAGCAACUUUCCCGAGGUAGCCCCGAAUGUACAUUUGGCUGGAUUAAGCUUUAGCUGAAACUUUUCCAGCCUUUCGAACAACUUCUUAAAGUUCACUACAUGCUCUUCUUCUCCUCGAGAUUUAGCAAUCAUAUCAUUGACAUAGACCUCUAUUUCUUUAUGCAUCAUGUCAUGGAAUAAUGUCACCAUAGCCCUCUGAUAUGUUGCCCCAGCAUUCUUUAACCCGAAUGGCAUCACCUUGUAGCAGAACGUUCCCCACAUUGUUAUGAAUGUAGUUUUCUCCAUAUCCUCAGGGGCCAUCUUGAUCUGAUUAUACCCCGAGAAUCCAUCCAUGAAAGAAAAUAAUGAAUGUUUUGCUGUGUUGUCCACCAACGUAUCAAUAUGUGGUAAGGGAAAAUUAUCUUUUGGGCUUGCUCGAUUCAGGUCACGGUAAUCCACGCACAUUCGUACUUUCCAUCUUUCUUUGGUACCGGGACUAUGUUAGCCACCCAUUCUGGAUAUUUGGAGGCUUGUAAGAAGCCAGCGUCAAAUUGCUUCUCGACUUCUUCUUUUAUUUUCAACAGCAUUUUCGGCCUCAUCCGUCUUAAUUUUUGCUGGAUGGGCUUGCAUUCUGGCUUUAAUGAGAGCUUAUGGACCACUAAAUCUUCAUCUAACCCUGGCAUGUCCUGGUAUGACCAUACGAAAACAUCUUUGUAUUCGCGGAGCAAAGUGAUCAAACUAUGCCUGGUACUUUCUGAAAUAGAAGUCCCAAUCUUCACUUCUUGUUUCAGUGCCCAAAUUUAUUGUUUCCACAGAUUCUUCAUGAGGCAGAAUCUAUUUAUCCUCUUGUUCCACCAUUCUUAACAAUUCAGGAGACAAGACAUAAUCUUCAGCAUUUUCUUCGGCUUCAAAUUCUCCUAAGCAAACAGCCUUCUCAAAAACAAUUUCAAGAUUCGUAACGGGCUUAUUCAUGUCGUCAAUAUCUGAGCACCUGAAAGUUGAAUGGAAAAGGAAGCUAUAGGGGGACAUCCAAGUAUUGGAAACAACAAAAAAAAUGUUAUGUCAUGGCAAUGAGACAAAUGUAAGGAUAGGCUAUAAAAUGAGAAAAUGAUUAUGAAAUUAGUGAUAACGCGAAAAAUCGUGACAAAAUGCAUUUUCAUUGAUAUUCAUUUAAAUGAUAAAGAGCGAAUGCAAGCUCUUACAAAAGAAUUCUAUUAUAUCUAAGGACACAAUAGAAGGUUAAUGUUUAGCAUUACUCUGAAGACUUAUAAACUAUGAGAAGCUCCUUAGCAGUCCAAUUGUUCAACAUGAAACCAGGAGGGCAAGGGCGUAUCCUCGAGACAUUCUUACUUGCACCAGCCUCUUUGUCAAUGACAUUUAUACUGACAUUCUGAAAACCCCUUUCAAUUAACCCCGGCAUGUUUCGUGGAUCAUCUUGUCCAGGGUACAUCAUUCCCGCAGAUGUAAAUGUUUUUGACAAAGGAGGGUACUCUAUUGGUUCCCAUUCUGGUUCUCGGCCCAAAUUUCUUGCAAUUCUUCUCUCUUGAUCCUUCUUCCACUGUCUUCUUCUUUGACGCAUGUCAGGCUGGAACCCCAAACCGUAUUGGGCCUUGUGGUGCACUGGCUUUAAAGCCCUAACUAUUCCUUGCAGAUGUCUCCCUAAACCUCUUCUCGUACGAGCUCCCCUUUCCACGGUCAACUUGACACCCAUUCUGGUAUUUCUCGACAGUUUUGGCAUCGGAAUUCUGUUUCCCUCAGCGAUGAAAGUGGCAUUGAUGAAUUCAAGGGAUCGAAAGGAACAUUCCACUGCGUCUUUGCUUACUUCCAGGUAUGGCGCAUCAGCAGAGAUAGAUACGACGAUGUCUUCUUCGCCCUCGACUGUGACCAAACAGCCAUCCAUGAUAAAUUUCAACUUUUGAUGGAGGGAUGAUGGGACUGCUCCAGCAGAAUGGAUCCAAGGUCUUCCCAAAAGGCAGUUAUAAGAGAGUGUAAUGUCCAUGACUUGGAACUCGACCUCAUAGACAUAAUGGCCCACUUCCAAAGGGAUUUCGAUCUUUCCCAUGACUUCGCGCCUCGUCCCAUCCAAUGCCCUUACCAUGGAAUGACAGGGCUUUAAGUAGGACAAAUCCAUCGGUAUUCUGAAAAGCGUAGCCAAUGGCAUAACAUUUAACGCUGACCCAUUAUCGAUGAGUACGUUCGGUAUUAUGCAGCCCUUGCAGCGGGUCGUGAUAUGUAGCGCUUUCACCGAGCCUCUACCAUUUAGCGGUAUCUCAUCAUCACUAAAAGAGAUGAAAUUGUCCGCAUUCAGAUUGUUUACCCACCUAUCAAGCUUUUCGACAGAUAUGUUGUUGGCCACAUAAGCUUGAUUUAACACCUUCAAUAAAGCAUUCCGGUGUGGCUCUGAAUUUAACAGUAGAGAUAGAACUGAGAUUCGUGCUGGCUGCUUGCUCAAUUGUUCCACCACACUAUACUCGCUGUGCUUAAUAAAUUUCAAGAAUUCUUAAGCUUCUUCCUCAUUUACAGGCUUUUUAGUUUCUUGCACGGGUGGAAUUUCUUGCUCGACUUCGACUUCGUGCAUCACUGCUUUCCCUUUUCGCUUCGAGUCGCUACUUUUCUUUACCGGUUAAACUUCUUUAGAAUAGCAUCGUCCACUUCGAGUAAAAUGACCUACCUUCCCAACAUCUUCAGUUAUGGCUUUGGACUUUUCAACUUCUGGUGUAACGAUAUUAACAUCAUAUCUCCACGGUACUGUUUUGUUGUCCUUAUACGGGAAAUGAGACGGUACUUCAAUUACCAUCUGUGGUUUCAAUGGCUCUCUCAUCGCGUCGUAAUAAAUUACCAACGGUCGAUCAGCACUAUAAGGGGGCCUUGAUGAUUGGCUAUCAGAGACGCAUACUUCUCUUUCGUUGGCAUCUUCCCUCUUGUUAAGGACCUUGAUCUCCUUAUUAUCCAUCCGGUCUUGAAGUAACCUUUUAAAGUCCUCACAUGACUGAAUGUCAUGUCCAACAAUCCCAUGAAAAUUGCAAAAACUUUGACCUUCUUCUCCAAAAAUUCUAUCAGAGUGACAGAGCAAUCCUUUCUUAACCAAUACCUCCCAGAUUUUCUGCAGAGGCGUCCUUAAUUCUGAAACACAUCUUCUGACCUUCCAUUCAUCCUCUUUCCCCACUGUGCUCACAUUCCCUUCUGUAUGGUUAGGGAACGGGUUCCCCGUGGCGUUACUGGCACUAUCGAAUCGUAGGAUACCCGUGUCAAUGAGUCCUUGAACUCUCCUUUUGAAAGAGAGACAGUUCUCAGUAGAGUGCCCCUGGUUCCCUGCGUGGUAUGCACAACUAGCGUUUGGAUCGUACCACUUUGGGUAUGGAGGUUUAAGGGGUGCCAUGUAAUAGGGAGAAAUCAGUUGUUUUUCCAAAAGUUUUGGGUACAAUUCCUUAUACGACACAGGGAUGGGGGUAAAUUGCGGUCUCUCGGGAUUAUGCCUUGCUGGUCUUGGUUCGUUUCUGGGUUGGCUUUGGGCGAGUAUCGUGUUUUGUGGGAAAGUAGUGACGGGUCUUUGGUUGUUCGUGGCGUAUACGGGGUAGGACGGAUGUGGUGCUUGGUAGUAAGGGGUUUGAAGGGGAUAAUAGAAAUUCAGGGGUGAAUAAUUUUGAGGUCGGGGUUGGUUAAGAUACGAAUUGGGAAUGUAACGACUCCCAGUUCCCACCAUGUGGGCUUCAGGCUAUUUCUUUCUUACGGGUGCUGCUUUUCUUGAGCCUUCUGAUCCUUCCAUUCUACCGCUCUUGACGGUAUUCUCUAUGAGUUCACCGGAUAUUACAAUAUCCGCAAAAUCCUUCGUGACACUUCCCACUAAUUUGUCAUAAAACGGUGCCUUUAAAGUAUUGAUAAAGAGAACGGUUAUCUCCGUUUUUGUUAGUCGGGGUUCCACUUGAGCUGAGACGUCUCUCCAUCUCUGCGCAUACUGUCUAAAAGUCUGAUGGCUUUUUCUCCAUCAUUUGCAAGGUCAUACGGUCUGGCACCAUAUCCGAUACAUGCUUGUACUGAUCACAAAAUGCUGACGCCAAGUCCUUCCAGGAUCGAAUUUUUCUCUACUAAGUUGAUAGUACCACCGAAGAGCUGACCCUGUUAGACUAUCUUGAAAGCAAUGUAUGAGUAGUUUAUCCUCGUUCACAUAACCGGUCAUUUUUUGACAGAACAUAAUGAGAUGUGCUUUUGGGCACCUUGUCACAUCAUACUUCUCAAAAUCAGGCACUUUGAACUUCGGGGGCAAAAUUAAAUCAGUACCAAACUGAGUUCCUUGGCACCUAGUGCGGAGAAGACUUCAGUGCCUUCUAUUACUUUGAGUCUUUCCUCUAGACUCCUAUAUUUUGUGUCAUGGUUAUCCAAUUUCAACUUGGCUACCUCUGCUGGGUCAUCUAGAUCUGGAACUAGUGGAUCAGCAGGACUAGCCCCUGGGUCCGACGCGAAUAUUCCUUGCCCUAAAUUUAUGGGUGGAGCAGGUGGCAUAGGUCGAUGUUCCAAGCCUGUGGGUUCCCCUAGAGUAUACCCUCUUUGUGUUGUAUAUGCGAGCGGUGGAGUGUAUCCCGGGGGAUAGAGUGGAUCUUGAUCGUGGCGAAUUCUUGACUGAGGUUCCAUAACAUCGGGGUUCUGUAUUUUUCCUUUGAUCAAAGUUGUCAUCAUCUCCAUCAUUUUAGCCAUUUGAUCUCUUUGCUUGAGUGAUUCCUCUCAAGAUCUCACCAUUAGGUCUUUCGUCUCUUGUUGCGAUUUGGCCAGUUGCUCUUGUAAUUCCUUUUGAGCCCUUUCCAUCCUUUCAAUUCUCUCAUUGAAUUCAGCUUCCAUUACUCUAGCUUGUCGGCGCAUUUUAUAGGAAUAACGUGGUUCCAGAUUUGAAAUCUUGCAACUGCGGAUUAUACGGUUCUUUAGUUUCGGUGGAUGAUUAUGGUGAUAUGUACACGCGAUGAAUGAAUGACUGAGUAUAUGAAUGGAUGAAUGUCCAAAGAAUAAAUGAUGCAUAAAUGUUAGUUAUGAAUAAACAUGCAAUAAUUUGGUGUUGAUUUCAAGAUAGCCCCAUAUUUAGGCAUUUCAUUUAUCAACAUAGUCUAUUACACAAAGUUUCCAUUUUUCCAACGGUUACACAAAUUUCCUAGCCACAUUGCCUUGUUUCUUCACUUGCUCUAAAAACUCUGAUAUGCUCGAUCUUUGGCUCGGAGGGAAUUGGCAACUGAGAACUUCGGCUUCAUCUGAUAAUUGAACAACUUGCAUAGCCGCUUUGCGAAUUUCAUUGAUCAAGAAGUCGAGUUGCAUUUCUUUUUCUUUGAGAGUUCCUUCAUACGCGUGAAUGUCCCUAUCGUACUGCUCACUCUUUUCUUCUAGAGCCUUCAGGAGGUUAUCUAAUUGUUGUUGACGAGAUUGCAGCAUAUUUUCUAGAUCUCGUGUUUUCCUUUUUAAUUCUUGAUGUUCAGACUGACAUUCGCAAAUUCUGCAGUCACCAUUUCAUACUCGGCGCUCUUCCUUCUUAACUCUAUCACAGCGCGCGCAGCCUUUUCUUCAUCUUUCUUUGCUUUUCCCUUCCAAAAUUCCAUUCCUCCCUUGAUAUUGCUAAUUUCUUCCUUCCAUUCUGCUGCCGACUUGCCCAACCCGCUAUUCUUUAUAGUGUUUCUUAAUUUCUUGUUUUCCAAAUGAAGGUCCCUUAAGUCGUUUCUCACGAUCUCUGCCUCUCUUUGUACUUUUUCAGUUCUGGACCUUUCAACCUGAACUUCAAUCUUCAGUUGAUAGUUUUCUUCUUGAAGGGCACUAAGGUCCCGAGACAUCUUGGCCUUUUCUCGUUCGAAUUCUUGUCUUGCCAUUUCUAGCUCAGACGGCGUUUCCUCCGAGAAAGAAUUCUGGAUGGUGUAGUUUGUUGACGAGAUUUGCUGGCUAUUUACCCGUUGCUUCCUCCAUAUGUCGUAAUCUUGGGUAAGGGUAUCAGCAUACAAGGCUAAUUCCAUGAAAUGAAUUUCCUUCCAAGACUUUGCAGUGUCUCGGACUCUCUUCAUAUAUCCUUCACCCGCGAAAGCGAACUCGAACUGUGCUAAUCCUCCAGUUGCGGGUAGGAAUUGUCGCGAAGAAAAUUGCCUUUGGACCAAUAGCGGAGCAUAUCCAACUCCUCCCCAUAACCCAAGUAAAGGUACCCAAUCUUGGCUUCCACAUUUGUAUACCAGAACUGAAGGACAGAUCCAGGGUGUUCUCCAUGUUAUAUCCUCGGCGCGAAGAUUCUGAAAGACUGAUACCCAACGUUGCUUGGUGACUUCCUUCGGCCAUUCUUUCUUGAGGUAAGCUUCUAGCGGGGCAAAUGUUUUUGAAAACUGAUGGAACGGAGUGCGCUCUACUUUCCAAAAAUGACUCAAAAUCCAAACAUUGAGCAAGUGAGCACAUCCACUAAAUCGUCCCUUUCCAACCCUUCGACAAGUACUCAGGGACCUGAAGGUCUCGGCUAGGAUAGUCGGGACAGGGUUGACUCCUUGUUUUAACCUUUCGAAGAAAUCAACUACUGCAACUUCGAGAUGUCCGAGAACUUUUGGGAAAAUGACCAAACCAUAAAUGGCCAAAGCGAAUAGAUUUACCCUUUUCAGCAUGUCGGGAUGGUUCAGAGCCAAAUCUCGUAGGGAGGACCAUGGAAUGCAAAUGGUUUCAUUCUUCUUCUUUAUCUGUUUUUCAGCCCAUGCAUCAGUCAUGUCUGUCAGUCUCACUAACUUUUUCUUGAAGGUCAUCGGCUUAGGCUCCUUCACAUAUAUUUUGCCAAAUUGUACAUUGUCGAUGCGGAGUAAAGCAGCAUACUCUUCUAUGGUUGGAGUCAUGUUUUCUUGAUUGAAGGUGAAACACUGAUAAGUUGGGUCCCAGAACCGAACCAUGGCUUGAAUCAACUGUUCGUCUACACGGAUGGUGAUCAGGUGAGCUAUAUCUCCAUACCUUUCAGUGAAAAUGUCUCUAGUGUCUGAAUCCCACUGAUUCCAAAUUCGAACCAAAUCCUCAAGGUUAUUUUGGCGAACAUUUACAGUUAUAUGUUCGGGCAAAUUGGCAACACACCCUUCCACUAGACUAUCCCCCUUUUCUCUCUGAGUUUUUAGAGACCAGUCCCGAACCACGACAUUCUUCUCGGUUAUUUGUGUAAUUGACUCCUCCAUCAGAAACCCGUUUUUUGGCAACCAACCUUUAAUCAACACCUUCCUAAUAUGAUGCCUAUGAUGCAUGAUGAAAAUAAAAAUAAAAACAAACAAACUUGGUUAGUAAACACAACAAAUAUAAUUUGAAAAACAAAUUAAACUACCCAAUCCAAUUAUUUUGCAUAAACAGUGUAAAUGAAAGGCAAAAGGCAUUUUCCCCGUGUACUUAUUUUGGUGACUAUAAUCGGACAGAGGUUCAGCAUGGCUCUAAUUGGAUAGCUUGUAUGGUUCGUUAUAUGCAGUCUCGGUUCUAGACAGGUACUCGAAUUGCUCGUACUAUCAUCUGCUAAGAUCAGCACGAAGCCUUGGUCAUAACCUAUCACAGGCUCACGAGUUCAAUUCGAGGGAUUACAUUUACUUAUGCCUAUGCGGAGGGACAAGUUAACUCACGAAAGCAUAAGUCAUAUGUAACCCGAAAGUAUUCACUAGCCUGUGCGGAGGGACGAGUUAACUCACGAAGGCGUAGCGUUUACUUUCACUUAAACGGACGGAGCCCGGGUAGAGAACUCAUGUUAUGCGAAAAUGCAAGUGCAGGGUGUGUGGGGAAAAACUGUAACACCCCUUACCCGAGACCAUCUCCGGAAUCGAGUACGAGAUGUCAUCCAAUUUAACUUACCGAUUCGGAGCAUAAAAAUUUGCUUUUAAAAUUAAAUUCACUGUUCAUAACAACACUGUCCACCUGCGCAACUGUCACUAAUUUAAUUAUAACUUGAGUUACGAAACUCAAAAUUUAAAUCCGUAAAUUUUCUGUGAAACUAGACUCAUAUUCCUACUUACUAUAAAAGUUUCAGAAUUUUUGACUUAGCACAUUAGUACAGUUUAUUCAUUAAAGUAUCCCCUGUUUCACAGCUCGACAGAUCUGACCUCUUGGCGCUAAAAAUCAAAUAUCUAAUUGUACAGAAUUCAUAUAAGGUUACCAUUAAUUUAUUUUGAAAAUAGACUCACUAAGGAAUCUAAACAUAUAAAUUAUGACCUAUAAUUAUUUCUGUACAAUUUAUAAUGAUUUUCUAAAGUUAGAACAGGGGACUUCAAAAACCAUUCUGACCCUGUCUCACUAAAAUUUAAAUAUCUCAAAAUAUAAAAUUCCUUUGCCUACACCGUUUCUUUCAUGUAAAAAUAGACUUGAUAAGCUUUAAUUAUAUAUAUCAUUCACCCUCUAAUUCCAUUUCUACUAUUUAUGGUGAUUUUUCACAUUCACGUCACUGCUACUGUCAAAGAAACUGCUUCUUUGAAUUAGUUACCAUUUAAACAUACAUAACUCCAAAACAUAUUCUUUAAUAACUACUUCAAUAGCUAACAUUAGCCAUAUCAUUUGGACAUGCUCAAAAUGAUUAAGACUCUAUACAUGCCAUAGUUUAAACAUUUUGAAAAGCACAUAAUACCGAGAUGGUUAUGAUAGUGUGAUACGAGCUCCGACGGUCCACUAUUCGAUCAAGUUCAAAUCACUAUAAAACAAAGGAAAGAAAGAGAUGUGUAAGCUAUAAAUAGCUUAGUAAGUUACAUGUAAACAAUAAUUACUCAAUUAAUAAUUAACACUUUUAACAUAUAACUAAUCAAAACAUUUCUUAGCAAUUUCAAUCACUUACACAUACACAAUCUUACCAAUUCACUUGCAUAUACAUUUUCACACUUAACAUUUCAUAUUCGCUUUAAUUCAUUAUUAAUCCCGUUGAACAGUUGGAAUAUACACGGAUACGUAGAGAUUUAGCACAUAAGUGCCACACUGAUAUGUAGCCGAAGCUACCACUGAUAUGUAGCCGAAGCUACCACUGAAAUGUAGCCGAAGCUACCACUGAUCAAUAACACUGGAAAUGUCCACGGGCCUGCUCACACAAGCUGUCAGGUGUCUGCAACACAUGCUAGAUCACCCAGCACCCGGGACUCACUGUAACACUGUAACACUGUAACACUGGUCUCUAGUGACAUGUCACUUGUAUCCAAUUCUAUUCCUAAGUUCAACCGGGAAUUUACACUUAACACUUUAUUACUUGAAUAAUUCAUGAACAAUUUUCCUUCCACAUUCAAUAUUAAUUCACAUAUCAAAUAUAAUUCACAAUUUAUACAAAUAUAACUAUUAUUUACAUAUAACUUACCUCGGAUGCAAAACGACUAUUUUUUGUAAUUUAGUCGAUAACUUUCUCUUUUCCCCGAUCACUUCCACUAUUUCUUCUUUCUUGAUCUAUAUUAACACAAUUUAAUACAUUUUAUCAACAUUUCAUUCAAAUACAAUUCAUACACAACAUUUUGGCAAAUUUAUAUUUUUCCCCGAAACUUUUCAAAAAUUCCACUUUUGUCCCUAAGCUCGUAAAAAUAAAAUUCACUAAAUUUUUAAAUUUCAAACUUCAGUAAAUCAUAUUUAAUGCUCAUAACAGCCCUCAAUUUCACAAAAUCACAACUUUAUGCACACUUUACCAUCUUUCACAAUUUAGCCCUUUUUCAACAUUUUCAUCAAAAUUCAUCUAGUAAAACUUGUAAUUAACACUUCAAACAUUCAUUAUCUAACAUCACUAAUCAAUUUACAAUUAUAUCAUGAAUGGGUAAAUUUUCAAACUUUAAUUUCAUUUAAAUUAAAUAGUAGAAACAUGAAAUUCAAGCUUCAAUAAGCAUAAAAAUACGAAAAUAAUUAAAAACGGGGCAAGAAAUCACUUACAAUUGAGCUUAGGAAAAUCAAAACCCUUAACUAUGGUAACCUGAAACUUUCGGCAGCAAGCUUCUGAUUUUUUUGAAGAAGAUGGACACUUAUUUUCUCUUUAUUUUGUCUUUUACCCAAUUUGGACAAAAAUGCCCUUGACCCAUUACUUAGAUAUUUUUCUAGAAAUACCCUUUUGUGUCCAUAACACUAAUUUAUGGUCUAAUUGCCACAUAAACACUUCCAAUUUCAUGCAAUAAUUCAAUUAAGUCAUUUAAUCACUAAUUAGACACACUUUGCAUUUUUUUCAAUUUAGUCCUAAAAAUUCAAUUAAGCACUAAAGCAUUAAAAUUUCCUAUCCAUAUUUUCACACAAUAUUUCAAUCAAUCAGUAACUAAUAAAAAUUUAUAAAAUUAAACUAUUUCACUUCGGAUUUGUGGUUACGAAACCACUAUUCCGAUUAGGCCCUAUUUCGGGCUAUCACAAUUCUCCCCCCUUAGGGAUUUUCGUCCCCGAAAAUCUUACCAGUGAAUAAGUUGGGAUACUGUUUCCUCAUAGCCUCCUCGGUUUCCCAUGUUGCCUCUUCCAUCCCAUGUCGUUGCCAUAACACUUUCACUAAAGCAAUUUCUUUGUUUCUCAACUGUUUCACUUCUCGUGCCAAGAUUCGAAUCGGUUCUUCUUCGUAUGUCAUAUCCGAUCGAAUUUCCACUUCAGUCGGUGAAAUCACAUGUGAUGGGUCCGAUCGAUAUCGCCUCAACAUAGAAACAUGAAACACAUUAUGAAUUCUUUCCAAUUCCGGGGGUAAAGACAAUCGAUAAGCCACUGGACCAAUUCUUUCUAUCACUUCAUACGGACCAAUAAAUCUUGGACUUAAUUUACCUUUACGGCCAAAUCUCAGAAUUUUCUUCCAUGGAGACACUUUCAGAAAUACUUUAUCACCCACUUGAAACUCAAUCUCUUUUCUUUUCAAAUCCGCAUACGACUUCUGUCGAUCCGAUGCAGCUUUCAAACAAUCACGGAUUAUCUUCACUUUUUCUUCAGUUUCUUUUACCAAAUCGACUCCAUGUAACUGAUUUUCAUUAAGUUCAGUCCAAUAUAAUGGAGUCCGACACUUUCGUCCAUACAACGCUUCAUAAGGUGCCAUUUUUAUGCUGGAUUGAUAACUAUUAUUAUAUGCAAACUCCACCAAAGGUAGAUAUCUUUCCCAAUUACCUUCAAAUUCCAAUACACAACAUCUCAACAUAUCUUCGAGCACUUGAAUUACUCUUUCAGACUGUCCAUCGGUUUGGGGGUGAAAUGCUGUACUAAAAUUCAAUUUAGUACCCAAUGCCUCUUGUAAUUUCUUCCAAAACCUUGAAGUAAACCGUGGAUCUCUAUCAGAUAUAAUAGACGUAGGCACACCAUGUAAUCGAACUAUCUCAGCAAUAUACAAUUCAGCUAACUUGUCAAGUGAAAAACUCAUUCGCACAGGAAUGAAAUGAGCUGACUUAGUCAAUCGAUCAACUAUUACCCAAAUUGAGUCUUUCUUUUUCGGUGACAAUGGCAAUCCGGAAACAAAAUCCAUAGUAAUUCUAUCCCACUUCCACUCGGGCACCAUAAUAGGUUGAAGUAACCCUGAAGGUACUUGGUGUUCAGCUUUUACUUGUUGGCACACAAAACACUUUGUCACAUACUCAGAGAUAUCCCGUUUCAUACCCGGCCACCAAUAUAAUUUCUUUAAAUCUUUGUACAUUUUUACACUACCGGGGUGAACUGCCAAGCGACUAUCAUGUGCUUCUUGCAAAAUUUUCUGAAUUAAAUCAACAUUUUUCGGAACACAUAUUCUAUCACGAAACAUUAAACAUCCAUCUGAAUCAAUCUGAAAAUCAGAAUUAUUGUCCACUGCACACUGAGUCUUUCUUCUUUGUAAUUCAUUAUCCACUUUCUGAGCCUCAUAAAUUUCUUGAAGAAACAAUGGACUAGCUUUUAACUCUGCAAGCAAUGAUCCAUCUUCAGUCAAUGUUAAUCUUGUAUUCAAAGCUCUCAAAGCAAAGAGAGACUUUCUGCUCAAAGCAUCAGCAACUAUAUUGGCUUUUCCCGGAUGAUAAUCUAUUACAAGUUCAUAAUCUUUCAUCAAUUCCAACCAUCUUCGCUGCCGCAAAUUCAGAUCUUUUUGUGUCAUAACAUAUUUCAAACUUUUAUGAUCUGUAAAAACAUGACAUUUCUCACCAUAUAAAUAAUGACGCCAAAUCUUCAAAGCAAAGACAAUAGCAGCCAACUCUAAAUCAUGGGUAGGAUAAUUUCGUUCAUGCAGUUUCAAUUGUCGAGAAGCAUACGCUAUCACUUUUCCUUCUUGCAUCAAUACACAUCCAAGCCCAUUUAAUGACGCGUCACUAUAAACAACAAAUUCCUUUCCUGACUCAGGUUGCACUAACACUGGUGCCUCAGUUAAACACUUCUUUAAUUUCUCAAAACUUUGUUGACACUCCUCGGUCCAUUCGAACUUAACAUCUUUUUGCAACAAUUUUGUCAUCGGCGAAGCUAUCAUCGAAAAACCUUCUACAAAUCGACGAUAAUAUCCGGCUAAGCCCAGAAAACUCCUAACUUCAGAUACAUUUCUUGGAGGCUUCCAUUCAACUAUUGCCGAUAUCUUAUUCGGAUCCACUCGAAUGCCAUCUCCCGAGACAACAUGUCCCAAAAAUCCAACUUCACUAAGCCAAAAUUCACUUUUGCUAAAUUUAGCAAACAAUUUCUUUUCUCGCAGCGUUUGUAGCACAAUUCUUAAAUGUUCAGCAUGCUCGACUUCACUUCGGGAAUAAAUAAGAAUAUCAUCUAUAAACACCACAACAAAUUUAUCCAAAUAGGGCCGGAAAAUUCGAUUCAUCAAAUCCAUAAAAAUAGCUGGAGCAUUAGUCAGACCAAAAGGCAUUACAAGAAACUCAUAGUGACCAUACCGGGUUCUGAAAGCAGUCUUUGGCACAUCUGACUCUUUAACCCUCAAUUGGUAAUAUCCGGAUCUCAAAUCAAUUUUGGAAAACACUGUGGCAUCCUUUAACUGAUCAAACAAGUCAUCUAUUCGGGGCAAUGGAUAUUUAUUCUUUACUGUCACUUUAUUAAGUUGACGAUAAUCAAUACACAAUCUCAAUGUCCCAUCCUUUUUCUUCACAAAUAGCACGGGAGCACCCUACGGAGAAUAACUUGGUCUGACGAAUCCUUUAUCCGUCAACUCUUGCAAUUGCACUUUUAAUUCUUUUAAUUCAGUUGGUGCCAUUCUGUAGGGAGCAAUCGAUAUUGGAGCAGUACCUGGCAUUACUUCAAUACCAAACUCUACUUCUCUAAUCGGAGGCAAACCUGGCAACUCUUCUGGGAACACAUCUACAUAUUCACAUACCACUGGCACUGAUUCGAUCUUUAUUUCAGACACUUUUGUGUUCAACACAUAAGCAAGAUAUGCUUCACAACCAUUUUUCAAACAUUUCUGAGCAGACAUGGCAGAAAUCACAAUUGGCAUCACAUUUGACUUAUCUGUUUCAACCCGAAGAACUGUACCACUACCACACUUCAACUCAAGAAUUUUCUGACUGCAAUCUAUUUUGGCCUUAUGUAAUGUCAACCAAUCCAUUCCCAAAAUAACAUCAAAUUCAUCAAAUGGCAACAACAUUAAGUUGGCAGGGAAACACUGACCUUGUAUAAUCAAAGGACAAUUUUUGCAUAUUUUAUCAACUAUCAUAUGCUUGCCUAAAGGAUUCGACACUUUAACCACAUACUCAAUCAAUUCAACACACAAAUUCUUAUCAGACACUAAAUUCAUGCAUACAUACGAGUGAGUAGAACCAGGAUCAAUCAAUGCAAGAACAUUAGUGUCGUAAAGAGAAAAUAUACCAGUGAUCACAUCAGGAGAAGAUGCUUCCUCUCUAGCUCGGAUGGCAUAAGCUUUUGCUGGAGCUCCCACUUCAGAUCUUACAGUCGUGUCUUUUGUUACGACUCUACCACUAGUUCCAAUCCCCACAUUUCUCUGUGGUCUUCCUCUAGUAGUCACACUGCUCGAUCUCACAUUCUGAAACUUUUCUAUCUCUUCUCUUUUCGGACAAUCUUUCACAAAAUGAUCUUGAGAUCCACAUUUAAAACAAGCUCGGCUGAUUAAAUAACAUUCCCCCAAAUGUCGUUUUCCACAAUGUUAACAUUCCGGUCUAGUAGGUUUAACACUACCUGUACUUGCCAUAGAAGUUGCCUGAGCUUUAGAACCUGAAUAUUGUCUUCCUCGAUCUCUUUGAAAAUUCACACUAGAAACAUUCGAUCGAGUAUUCAUUUCUUUAAACUUCUUCGCUUGAGACUGAAAUGGCUUGCCCAUUGAUCUUUUUCUUUCAUCUCUUGCUUCACUUUCCACCUUUCUUUUCUCUUUGCUCAAUUCUUCAGCCUUGAUAGCUCUUUCAACUAGUACCACUAACUCUUUAAUUUCAAGAAUUCCCACUAGCAAUCGGAUAUCCUCGUUUAAUCCAUCUUCAAACCUUUUGCACAAUGUAGCUUCAUUAGAUACACACUCUUGGGCAUACUUGCUUAAUUUGACAAAUUCUCGUUCAUAUUCGGCUACCGUCAUGCGCCCUUGUUUCAAUUCAAGAAACUCUUUUCUCUUUUGAUCAAUGAAACGCUGACUCACAUACUUCUUUCGGAAUUCUUCUUGAAAGAAAUCCCAUGUAACUUUCUCUUUAGGCACCACUGACACUAAAGUUUUCCACCAAUUAUAAGCUGAAUCCCUCAACAAUGAGAUAGCACAUUUGAGACUCUCUUCUGGAGUACAAGAUAAUUCAUCCAACACUCUGAUGGUAUUAUCAAGCCAGAACUCUGCUCUUUCAGGAUCAUCAUUUACAUUAGCUCGGAACUCUUCGGCUCCAUACUUUCGAAUUUUGUCCACUGGAGGCUUUGACAAUCUUAACACUUCAGUUUGUUGAGGAGCUAUGGGAACAGCUUGAGGAAUAGGAGGGGGCGGAGGAGGUUGAGCAUUAGGAUUAGUUCUAACAAACUCAGUGUACCAAUUGUUCAUCAUUUGGAGAAAAGCUUCUCGAGCCUCAUCUCCUUGACCCUGAGUCUCAAAUCGACUUUCAACAGGCACAUUACUUUGAGCAUCAUCAGCUGUAUCUCGGUUAGAAUCCAUUACUAUAAAAAAAAACAUUUUAAGAUGUCAGGAGUCGUCACACUAUCAUUAUUCAAUUAUGGCAUGUAUAGAUAGUCUAUUACACUCGCUACGUUAGUCCGAGAAUCGACUAAACCGUAGCUCUGAUACCACUAAAUGUAACACCCCUUACCCGAGACCAUCUCCGGAAUCGAGUACGAGAUGUCAUCCAAUUUAACUUACCGAUUCGGAGCAUAAAAAUUUGCUUUUAAAAUUAAAUUCACUGUUCAUAACAACACUGUCCACCUGCGCAACUGUCACUAAUUUAAUUAUAACUUUAGUUACGAAACUCAAAAUUUAAAUCCGUAAAUUUUCUGUGAAACUAGACUCAUAUUCCUACUUACCAUAAAAGUUUCAGAAUUUUUGACUUAGCACAUUAGUACAGUUUAUUCAUUAAAGUAUCCCCUGUUUCACAGCUCGACAGAUCUGACCUCUUGGCGCUAAAAAUCAAAUAUCUAAUUGUACAGAAUUCAUAUAAGGUUACCAUUAAUUUAUUUUGAAAAUAGACUCACUAAGGAAUCUAAACAUAUAAAUUAUGACCUAUAAUUAUUUCUGUACAAUUUAUAAUGAUUUUCUAAAGUUAGAACAGGGGACUUCAAAAACCAUUCUGACCCUGUCUCACUAAAAUUUAAAUAUCUCAAAAUAUAAAAUUCCUUUGCCUACACCGUUUCUUUCAUGUAAAAAUAGACUUGAUAAGCUUUAAUUAUAUAUAUCAUUCACCCUCUAAUUCCAUUUCUACUAUUUAUGGUGAUUUUUCACAUUCACGUCACUGCUACUGUCAAAGAAACUGCUUCUUUGAAUUAGUUACCAUUUAAACAUACAUAACUCCAAAACAUAUUCUUUAAUAACUACUUCAAUAGCUAACAUUAGCCAUAUCAUUUGGACAUGCUCAAAAUGAUUAAGACUCUAUACAUGCCAUAGUUUAAACAUUUUGAAAAGCACAUAAUACCGAGAUGGUUAUGAUAGUGUGAUACGAGCUCCGACGGUCCACUAUUCGAUCAAGUUCAAAUCACUAUAAAACAAAGGAAAGAAAGAGAUGUGUAAGCUAUAAAUAGCUUAGUAAGUUACAUGUAAACAAUAAUUACUCAAUUAAUAAUUAACACUUUUAACAUAUAACUAAUCAAAACAUUUCUUAGCAAUUUCAAUCACUUACACAUACACAAUCUUACCAAUUCACUUGCAUAUACAUUUUCACACUUAACAUUUCAUAUUCGCUUUAAUUCAUUAUUAAUCCCGUUGAACAGUUGGAAUAUACACGGAUACGUAGAGAUUUAGCACAUAAGUGCCACACUGAUAUGUAGCCGAAGCUACCACUGAUAUGUAGCCGAAGCUAUCACUGAAAUGUAGCCGAAGCUACCACUGAUCAAUAACACUGGAAAUGUCCACGGGCCUGCUCACACAAGCUGUCAGGUGUCUGCAACACAUGCUAGAUCACCCAGCACCCGGGACUCACUGUAACACUGUAACACUGUAACACUGGUCUCUAGUGACAUGUCACUUGUAUCCAAUUCUAUUCCUAAGUUCAACCGGGAAUUUACACUUAACACUUUAUUACUUGAAUAAUUCAUGAACAAUUUUCCUUCCACAUUCAAUAUUAAUUCACAUAUCAAAUAUAAUUCACAAUUUAUACAAAUAUAACUAUUAUUUACAUAUAACUUACCUCGGAUGCAAAACGACUAUUUUUUGUAAUUUAGUCGAUAACUUUCUCUUUUCCCCGAUCACUUCCACUAUUUCUUCUUUCUUGAUCUAUAUUAACACAAUUUAAUACAUUUUAUCAACAUUUCAUUCAAAUACAAUUCAUACACAACAUUUUGGCAAAUUUAUAUUUUUCCCCGAAACUUUUCAAAAAUUCCACUUUUGUCCCUAAGCUCGUAAAAAUAAAAUUCACUAAAUUUUUAAAUUUCAAACUUCAGUAAAUCAUAUUUCAUGCUCAUAACAGCCCUCAAUUUCACAAAAUCACAACUUUAUGCACACUUUACCAUCUUUCACAAUUUAGCCCUUUUUCAACAUUUUCAUCAAAAUUCAUCUAGUAAAACUUGUAAUUAACACUUCAAACAUUCAUUAUCUAACAUCACUAAUCAAUUUACAAUUAUAUCAUGAAUGGGUAAAUUUUCAAACUUUAAUUUCAUUUAAAUUAAAUAGUAGAAACAUGAAAUUCAAGCUUCAAUAAGCAUAAAAAUACGAAAAUAAUUAAAAACGGGGCAAGAAAUCACUUACAAUUGAGCUUAGGAAAAUCAAAACCCUUAACUAUGGUAACCUGAAACUUUCGGCAGCAAGCUUCUGAUUUUUUUGAAGAAGAUGGACACUUAUUUUCUCUUUAUUUUGUCUUUUACCCAAUUUGGACAAAAAUGCCCUUGACCCAUUACUUAGAUAUUUUUCUAGAAAUACCCUUUUGUGUCCAUAACACUAAUUUAUGGUCUAAUUGCCACAUAAACACUUCCAAUUUCAUGCAAUAAUUCAAUUAAGUCAUUUAAUCACUAAUUAGACACACUUUGCAUUUUUUUCAAUUUAGUCCUAAAAAUUCAAUUAAGCACUAAAGCAUUAAAAUUUCCUAUCCAUAUUUUCACACAAUAUUUCAAUCAAUCAGUAACUAAUAAAAAUUUAUAAAAUUAAACUAUUUCACUUCGGAUUUGUGGUUACGAAACCACUAUUCCGAUUAGGCCCUAUUUCGGGCUAUCACAAAAACUCAUAAACCUUUACGUUUUACUAAAAGAAACUAAACCAAAAUUAAAGCCAUAAAAAUUGAAAACUGAAAAACAACCAAAUAACAAGUUAGAAGAAAUAUUUACAACAUGAUACAAAUGCAUGAAUUUUGAAAACGAGAUUUUCGGAUCACGACCAAAUAUUUACUUUGAACAAAGAAAUUUGAAAAUUUUGACAAAACGUAUUUAAUUCGACUCGACUCGCAAGUUUUGUCCCCAGUGGAGUCGCCAGCUGUAGCGACGUAAAAAUUAGCUUUAGCUUCGGUCGCUAAUUGUGGCGAUUAAAAACUUGGAAAUUGAAAUUUGAUUUAAAAUAAACCGGGAGUCGCCACCGAUCCUUUUUUCUAGGUGUGAUCAGACACCUAUUAGAUUUCUUUUUAAAAACGAGAAAAAGGCCGAGUUAAGGUCUACGUUAAAAGCCAGAGAAAAAUUAGGGUUCGGGAGUCGGUUACGUGCGAGGAAGGUAUUAGCACCCUCACGACGCCCAAAAAUUGGUAUCUCAUAAACAAGUGUUGUCUUGAUUUUCAAAAAUAUGAGUUCAAAGUAAUAUUCAAUCGUGAUCCGAUUCAAAAGACGAAAACUUUCAAUUUUUGAUUUCCUUUUUUUUUUGAGAAGGGUAUACCGAUUAAACACGAACCGACAAAUUCCACUCAACAUAGCAAUGGAACCGUCGACUUGGUAUUAAACCGAUAUGUUGCCUUUGAUUAUUGAAAUUAAUUUAGAAACAAGAACGUGAUUUUUUAAAACGUGUAAGACAAAAUGAAUACAGAAAUAAAUAAACAAAUGAAAGGACUAGGUAUACAUAUUGGAACAAAUGACAAACAUAACAAAAAUAUUAAAACAAUAACCGUGCAUGCAAGAUUAAAUAUGACAAUAAUAUCGAAAAUGAAAAAAAACAUUGAAUAUACAUAUGUAAAAGUGACAUUACGAAUAUAUACAUAAAAAUAGGGAUGAAAAGAUUUACAUAAUAAUAUUAAUAUGUGUACAUAAUAUAUAUAUACAUAUAAUAAAAUACAUGUAUUGAUAAUAUAUAUGAUAAGAAUAAAAUAAAUGUAAUAAUAUACAUAUAAGAAUAUAAAAUCUAGUUAAGACUAUGGAAAAUAUAUAAAACGACGUAUGAUUUAAAAAGAUAACAUUGAAAAUAUGUAUAUACACAAUAUAGAAUCAGAAUAUAUAUAUGUAAUACAUAUUAAAAGGAUACAUAUAAUAUACAUGUACUUCAAAAUAAUGUUAAAAGAGUAACUAUUAAUUAUAUUGCAUGAAAUAUACAUAUACAUUAGAAACAAUAACGACAUAGAAUGAACUUACUAGUACAUUUAGAAUGAACUUACUAGUACAUUACAUGGAUAUGUUCGUACGUGGGUAUAAAUAAAUGGGACAUUAGAAAUACUCAAUAUGUAUGGUGUUCAAAAUAUAUACAUAACAUAAUAUAUAUAUAAAUAUAUAUAUACAUAAUGUAGUAUUAAAAAUAAACAUAAUAUAUAUAUGUUGAAACUAAUAAUAAUAAAACCGUCGAUAAUACUUAAUAAGUGUAUGUCUAUACACUGAAAAUAUACGCAAUAAUACAUAAAGUAUAGUAUUAAAGCACAUGUCUUUAAUAUAAAAAAUACAUAUAUAUAAUAAUAUAAUAUUGAAACAUUUACAAAAUUUAUACACAAAAAAAAAACUAAUAGUAAUGCCACAUAUAUACAUAAAUAUAUUAAGUAUAUACAUACAUAAAAUAUACAAUAAUAUAACAACACUAAUAAUAAUAAUAAUGUAAAAGUGACAAGGAUAUUGGAUAAAUAUAUAAAAUAAACAAAAAAGGACUAAAAUUAAAUCACAAACGAAGUUAUGGGGCCUAUUUAAAAAAAGACAAAAAUAUGAGGCCUAUUUGAACACGGGUAAAACCAUGGGGUAUUAAAAGUGCAAUAUUUCAAACUUUCCAAAACGCUGCGCAGGUAAGGGACCAGAAUGAACUCGGAGCAAAACUAUUGGGGCCGAAUUAAAAUAAAAUAAACUUGAUUGUAAAUUAUCAGAAAAGCGGAAGGGCCAAACGCGCAAUUAGCCCUUCCGCUGUAAAAACACGCGGAUCCUGACCCGACCCGCACUAAAACGACGACGUUUUAAUUAUUAAAAGGGGGGACCAAAAUGCACCGUUUUGGUCCCCUGUAUAAGCAAAUUUUUUUUUUCAUUUGAAACAGCUGAGAGAAAAAAAAAAGAAAAGGGGGAGGGGAGAGGGAAGCCCGGAGCGAUUUCCGGCCAAGGGGGAGGGUUCCGGUCCGAUCGCCGGCGCCGGCCACCGCAGAAAAGGUAAUUUUCUAUUUUUUCUCUUUUUUUUUGCUUUUUAUUUCUUUAUGUUUAUUUGUAAAUUUUUAUGUAUUUGUGGUGAAAAAAUGGACUUAAAACAGUUAUUGAAAUGAAGAAUUACCUUCGGUUUUACUCACUUUUGAAUCUUCGAUCUUUUGUAUUCUGCCUGCUUGGAUGUUAUUUUUUGUUCAAACUCUAAUUAGGCUGCUAUUUUUUGCUCUACAAUCGAACCUUUCUGUCGUUUUUAUUUUUUAAGAAACAAAGAACAAUCCCCCCCUUUACAGAUUUUCCAUUUCGGCUUUAUAGCCGAAUGUUCCAAAGAAGAGUACAAAAAAUAUUGUUUCUUCCAUUUGCUACUGCUCUGUUGCUGCUGUUGUUUUGUUUCCUUUUUGCAGUUACAGAGUCUGUUGUCAUGCGUACGGGGUGUGGGCGUGGCGUACGAGGACUGUGGAGGUAUGGGACUGUUGUAGUGGGGGUAUGGGGCAUGGCAGACGUCGGUGGUGACAAAGGCAAGUGGGCGCCGAAUGCUAGGGGGGCUAGGGUUUGGGAUUAGGUAUUUUUGUUUCUGAUUUUGUGUAAUGGGCUGUUAGUUUAGUGGGCUGGUAGUUUAGGUUAUUGGGCUUCGGGUAUAUGGGUUCAGGGAUAUUGGGUUCUGGUUGUAAAUGGGGUUUGAAUUUUGGGUUGGUUGAUGUAUUAGUUAGGCUUAAUGGGUAUUGGGCUGUUUAGGUUAGGGUAGGUUAGUUGGGUUUUGGGGUUUAAUGGGUUAGUGAUUUAAUGGGGUUUGAAAUUGGGUUGAGGGAUUAUAAAAUUGAAAAUGGGUUCUCUGUAAUAGUAGCUAAAAUUGGCCUGUACACCUUUCUUAGUAGUUGACUUCAUGACCAUAUUCUCUUGUUUUGAAAGGAUAGGAUCUUAUAGAUUCACAGUGCACAAACGAUGAUUAUUUUUGUGACUGUAGAUACGACCAUUUUUCUUAAAACAAAUAAAUGAAAACCAUCAAACAAAUCUCAGCAAUCAAAAUUAUGGACCAAAGCUUUGUGCUUGCUGAUGUCUUUUAAUGCAAUGCUCCCAAUCCUGCGUAAAUGUUGAUUACAACUAAAAUACACACUGCAGUUCCUAGUAACCAAUGUGCAAUAAACCAUGCAUUUCCUCCCUUGGAUCCCCUAAACAUAAUGCGUUAUAUAUGCUUCAAUUUUACACUUUAUAUGCCAAAAUGCAAUAUUACGUUGUUCAUGUAGGGUGUGCUUGGUUGAGUGGAAAAGUGAAGAGAUGAAAGGAGAGAGUAGAAAAGUGGAAAGAAAUAAUUUUUGAGUAUACUUAGUUGGGAUGAAAAUUUAGAGGAAAGAAAAUAGGAGGGAUGAUUAUUUUUCAUUCUAAUACAUAAAAAUUAAUCUUUCCAAAAUGGGAUAAGAAAAGGAUAGAGAUGAGAGAUAAAGUGUAUAUUAAUUCAAAAUUAUUUGGAUUAUUUAUUUUUCAAAUGUUUUAUUUCAGUAAUUUUUUUUUCACUCUACCAAACAAUGGCUCGAAAGAAAAAUAAUUUUUAUUUUCUAUCAUUCUUAUCAAGUACUGUAAUAGCCAAUUUUGGCCCAGGCCAAUAAAACAAAAAUAAAACCCAAAUAAACAAUUAAAAACUCUAAAUAAUAAAAAGUCCAUUACAAAAUUAAAACCCAACAAACCCACCAAGCCCAAACCAACCCUAGCCUUCUAGCUAUCAACAUUUUCAGCAAACAGAAAAAAAAAAAAAAAAAACUAGCCACCCUUCAACCACUGCAUGCCCCACUGUCUGCUGCCUCCACGCAUGCCGCUUCGUCGCACUCUUCGAACGCCCCCUCCAUGCGUGCCACGCCUCUCUAACACCUGCAACAAGGAGUAAAUAUGAAGACAGAGAGUAAUACACGGGCAGUAGAAAAAAUCAAGCAAAAACGACAAGAAAAUAGGAUUGAAUCGUCUUGUAAACAACUUUAAAAGCUGAAAUUUUCCCAUUGUAUUUUUUUUAUGAAUAUUGAGCAAUCAAAAAGCAAAAACACAAGAAAAAAAGGUUGACUGUUUAUUUCCAUUUCUCGUUUUCAUUUCAUUUCAUUUCAUUUCGUUUUUUUAUUUUUUUAUCUUUUUUAUUUUAUUAUGAAUCUAAUUUAAACAAAAUAUAAAAGAAGAAACCUCACCUGAAUCCCCACGGACGCAUCGUCGGAGAGUCUUCUCUGUCGCUGCAAUCGGGUUCGAAAGGGUGCUGAGGGUUCUCUUCUUUCGUUCUUAUAAGACGCCGAGGGUUUGGCCUUCAAAAAGGUUUUGAAACGGGGUUACCUAUUUUUGUGCGUCGCCAGCCACCAAACACGGUGGUGGUGUAGCGAGCAGUGAGAACCCGAUCGUCAGAGAAACAAAGGGGGGAGAGAGUGUUUUGCGGUUUUUUUUCUUGGAAAAUGAAAGAGGAAACGGCAAAAUAAAAAAGAAGGAAAUUUUUGGUUUUA